AAAAAGAGGGAAGGAAAUGGAGAGAGGGGAGAUUGCCGACCGGAGAGAGGUGUGAAUGACGGCCAGUUGCAGUGGAGAGGGAGGGAGAAGCAGAUGGUGGGUAUGGGAGAAAAAACAAAAGGAUAAUUUUGGAAAUUCACUAUUUGAGUGUAUGAAAGGGGUUAUUUCUUUUCUAUCUUACACUUAAAUUGAAAAGUCAAAAAAAAAUUUGGGAUUGGUUUAUGGUAACAUGAUUUUCCUUUUUUUAAUUUUUUUGUCUCCUUCACAGCUUACAAAGGGAAUCAUUUCACGUGGCCCUCCUCUAAAGUCUCACUCGCUCUGUAAUAAAUUCCAAGAAGAUUAGGGUUUCAUGGAAAUAUCUCAAGCGAAUCAGGCUCAGUGUGGCCGAUGCAGCAAACUCUCAAAUCUCUAUAUCCGGAGGUAUGGAAUCUCAAAACUCCUGUUUUUUGAGCUUUAGUUCUGGAUUAUGUCAUGUGAUGCUUAAGAUGGCUGUGAGAUUUGAACGACUUGUAACUCAAGGAGAUGAUGCAGAGUUGGGUAAGGCUGCUUUUCUGUUGGGAGGAGGGCAAGAUAACGAUACCGAACGUGAGUUAUGAUUGUUAAUUGGCUUAGGAGGUCUUGGGAAUAUAUGUUUUUUCCGUGCAUCUCUUUUUUCUUAGAUGAUGUAUGGAAUGAAAUUAGGGUUUAUAUUUCCUUCCAUCGUUAUUAGGUUAAAAGAAGGGCACAAGGAAGUAAAAUUAUAUUUUUUAAAGUUUUAAAAUGAUAAAAACGAACAAAAAAGUUUUUCUUUUAACGAAAUUUUUCUACUUUAAAAUUAAGUUACUAUAUCUUUUAGCAAAUGCGGGUAAUGACAGAUAAAAGAUUGUUUGUCUUAGAUGAUGUAUGGAAUAUAUUUCAUCCUAUCGGCACAAGGAAGUAAAAUUAAGAUAGAACAAUGAGUGAUAAAGUUAUCAGGAGAAGAAUGGAAGAUAGAUUUGUUUGAGUUAGGAACAUAAACAUGGAUUUGCUCGAAUUGUUUGUGAUAAUGAGAAGACAGUGAAAAUAUGAGAGUGAGGAUUAUUGGCUUGCUUCUCUAGAUUAAUGACCAGACUGGACUUGAUCUACGAACUAAACUCGUAUUCAAGCUGUUGCUACUCAAAGACUCGUGUCCUGGGGAACUUCAAUGCAAAGAUAAAAGGUGAUUGUGGGACUCAUGACCUGGGAGGCUUGAAUGCAAGAUAGAGAUGAUGCAAGAUAAAGAUAAUUGUGAGUAGUGUUGUUGGAAUGAAAAUUCAUUUGUAACAAAUCAUCUGUUUUGUGAUGUAAUGUUGUUAAAACAAUUUCAAUUUCCAUUCUCUUGUUGCAAUGACAAUUCCUUUGCAAUAACUAGCACUUUUCUUUGAAAUUCCGUCAGUUUUAACAUCCCAUUCACAUAUAUACAUACAUUCAUGCUUUUCUCGACCCUGGGGUUCUUUCAUAGCCAAUGCUUUAAAAUUUGUUUUAUUACAGAAUCCACUUUCUGGUAGAAGGAUAGAAUUUAAUCAUGAACAAGUGAAACGAGUUUGCUCACUAUUGCAGCAGGUGUUGUAAGAAAGAACCGAAAACAAGUUCUCUCUUUUCUAAUAUGGUAAUCAACUUUAAAAAAGGGAAAUAAGUAAAAAUCUUGAUAGCAAGAUGCUCAUAUUAACAAUGGCAGCCCACUGCAACUCAUAGUAUGAAAAAUAAGUCCCGCAAAACAUUAAUUUCUUUCUCCUAUUAUCAAACAAACAAAACAGCAGUCAUGAUUCAUGAAAGCCUGGUCUUACUGUUUUUGUACAAAAUGUAUCUGUGAUGCCGUCAACACCGAAGGACCAUGUCAUUUUACAUCUCCAGAAUGCAGGUAUCUCAAACUGCCACAUUUUGUUGCUUGACUAAGGAAGUGGCAUCUCAAACUACCUAUCCUUUGUUCGUUCACAACGUUCGAGCAACCUUUUCGUACAAAUCACGAGGCCAGUUCCUAUUCAAAUUGUUUGCGAGAAAAUUGGCAAUCUGCAAAGGUCAGAAGGAUGCAUCCAUCAAAAACCGAGAAAAACACCGUGUUAAGAAGCAUGCUACAUUUUGUUGUUGCACCAUGCCUAGGUUACCUUGAUUUUCACCCAAUCAACCUUGGUCAGAUCCCAAACACAUCAUCCAUCAAUUACUCACUAACUAGACUUGUUACUAGGCUACAGAUUUACUUGAGAAAACCAUCAAAAUCCCAUGGACCAAAUUGAGGAAACCCUCGUAUAGCAAGAAAAGAAGAGACUAGACAUACAUGGAUGGUUCUAUCAACUCAGGGUAUCAGCAUGAAACUGACCACAACCCACAAAUAUUUGCUAAAAGAUCAUUUUCAAAAUUUCACAUUACCAAGAAAAUUAUUUAAAGAGCCACUAAUCCAUGAAUGUGAGAUCAAAUCCAAAGGCUUAACCAACUUAUUGAAACAGGACAUCUAUAAACAAUAAAUAAACUACCUAAAAGGGCAACAUGAAUGGAAUUACCUGGGGCAAUCACAAACUCUGCUAUGUGCCUGUAAAACUAAAGGUGCUAUUGCUUUAUAAAUUUAUUUUAUUUUUAAUUAAGUCUUAAACCUUUUAGAUAAAGCAAGCUCAAUCCAGCAGAAUUAUGGUCGGUUUCACGCAAGGCAUAAAAAAUGUAAACCAACAGUCACCAGGGUUAGUAUGAAACUAACUAUAUCACAUUCAAUCUCAAGGCAUACACAAAUUAGUUUACAUAAAUACACCAAAAAUUUGCAUUUCAAAUAACACACCCUACCAAUGCUACCAAUGCCAAGAAAUUCUAAAGGGCUUUCAGGAGGAAGGGCAUAUAAUUUGGAUAUUUAAAAUAUGAGGAAUAUCAAAAUUCAGUAUUUUUUUUAACAUACCUUAGUCCUCAAGGCCCGAAGUGAUCCAUCAGUAUCCGUCACAUAGUCCAGACAACUGAGAGCAAUCUUCAGAAGGUCAGGCACACAAGCUUGGACAUGGGGAGAUAAAUUCUGAAACACAUCAGGUGUGGUAUCUGGCGCUCGUGGAUCAAGUGGAAGAAAUGGAAGUUUAGCAACCUCCCUCAGGGCAUCUAGAUAAUGGCCCACUCUCGCCAACUUAUGGAUAGACAAUAUUGCCUCAAGCUCUCUUAGUACAGUCUGUUGCUCCAUAACAUGUUCCCUCUCUUGAAGACUGCACAUUGAGUUCAAGUGAUUAUAAGUAUAUAAUAAAGUAGCUCGUGCCCACGAUGGGCGGGCUCCCUUUACUCAUCAAAAAAAAUAAGUUUAUAAUAACGUACUGAGACAAGUUAUGAAAUUUAAACCUUGAUAUCCAUAAAAAAAGAAAGCCGACAUCCAAGUUAGUGCUUAAUCAAAGGAUGAUAUGGUUCAGAAUCCUCUGAAAAAUUCAUAUUUCUAAAAAAUAACCGUGUUAACUAUGUCAUUCUCAAUUCACUUAGAAAUUAUUUCACCACAUGAAAGCAUUGCAAACUCAAACUAGCAGUCAUAAUAUGAUGGAGUAGUCAGGAAGCCAACAAUAACAAUAAAACUAACCAGCAUAAGAACAAUAGUUCUUAUUUUAAAAAAUGAACAUGACAUACACUCAAGAAAUUCAGUCCAAGAAUUUUUUUUCAAAAUUCUCACCAGUGAGAAUGAAUUUGAGCCAAGGGAACAGAUAAACAGAAUCCUGUGGUGUUCAUAAUUCUCUGGAGAACUUCGAAAUGAAUAUGAUAUACACUCAAUAGAUUCAGGACAUUCAUGAAUACAUAAAAGCAUGUGACAAACUGAGUUAUGCAUGUGCUCAAUAGAACACUCGUAUGUAAUCUGCACUUCAACAAGUCGGAGAAUUUUGUCAGUCUACAUAAAAUAUGGGAGUACUAGCAUUUUGCUGGAAUUCACACUUGCUUCACACGAUAGACUUUUAUGGUACACCUCUCAGUUUUUAAGAUCCUCUUUUCACACAACAGUUUAUAUUUUGGGCUGAACCUUUGGAAAGACAUUAGAAAAGGGUGGGAAAAGUUCAUUCUUAGAACUAGUAUCCGUAUUGGAAAUGGUAGACACACAAGUUUUUUGGUGGGAUAAUUGGGUUGGGGAUUCUAAGUUGAAGGAUGUUUUUCCUUCUCUAUUCAGGAUUGCAGCCCACAAAUUUGCUAUAGUGGCAGACCUUUGGGGGAGGCAAGGGGGUGGAGGCGGUUGUUGGGAGGUGGAUUUUAGAAGAUCUUUCCAAGAUUGGAAAUUAGAGGAGGCGACUCGUUUUUUAGAACAUAUUUCUGUGCAAAAAGUUGAAGAAGGGGAGGAUUCUUUGGCUUGGAAGAAUGAUGGAAGGGGAAAGUUUAGUGUCAAAUCAUAUUAUUAGUCGUUACGGGAUGAAAGCAAUAUUUUAUUCCCUGCCAAUGAGAUCUGGGAUUCGUGUGCUCCUCUUAGAAGUUGUUUUUUUGUUUGGAAAGCAGUUUGGGGAAAAAUCUUAACAGUAGACACAUUAAUGAAGAGGGGAUGGUCCAUGGUCAAUAGGUGCAGCAGCCUUUGUAAAGAUAGUGAAUAAUCAGCUAACCACAUUUUGAUUCAUUGCGACAAGACAAGAAUGUUUUGGAUUGUGUUGUUAACUUCUUUCAAACUGGUAUGGGUGUUCCUGGAUUCAGUGAGAAAUCUUCUUCUAAAAUGGAAAGUUAAGGGGCUGAGGAAGAAGAAAAGAGUAGUGUGGAGACUGGCUUCGAUGUGUCUUUUUUGGUAUAUUUGGGGAGAAUGAAAUCGAAGGACUUUUCAGGAGUAAAAGAUGUCUGACCAAAGUCUGACAAAGCUCUUUACCCGUUCACUAUUAGAGUGGUCUCAGUAGGUUCUAGCAUUAGACAAUCCCUCUUUUUUUGAAAUUUUGGGUGUCCUUAAUGGAGACUAGACCUCCUAUUGUAGGUCUUGUUUCUCCUUUCUAGAGCCUGGUUGGGUUUUGUUUGUAUACUGCCUGUAUACAUGGAGUGCACCCCUGUUUUUGGCUGUUUAUUGUUCAAUUUGCCUUUGUCUAUCAGAAAAAAAAAAGGUUUUAAUAUGCAUCAUAAAUUUGGUAGAAGCAAAAUUGGCACCAAAUAAUUUAAUGAAAUGGUGAAGUAUAGAAUUGACCUGACUUCAGGAAAAUAUUUGUAUGUCUCCAGGAUCUCAUUGCCAGACUGAAUUAGCCCAGCAGUUCGGCUCUCACCAUCCAAUCUACCACGAGCCAAAGCACAAACUGCUUCAGAGAGGCACUUAUUAAUUGUAUCCAACGCCAUUGAAAAUGCCCCAAUUCUCUUCUGAAUUUCUAUAGACUGUAAUUUAGUGGUAAAAUUAAGAGGUGAAUUCAUCAGACUAGACACAAAAUAAUGAACAAGAUGACAAAGAAUAGUUGAAGCAAAGAUGAAUGUUUAUAAGAUGCAAACUUGGAAAAUAAAACCAUUUCGUAAAACCCUAAAUCUCUGCCUUGCUCCCGCUCAACCAAAUAAAUAAUGAAGACAAAAAGAAAGAAAUAAUGUUGGGGAUAGGGGAGAAGAAAGAAACAAACCCGCUGAAUGUUUGACUUUCAAGCUAAUAGUGGAAUCCCAAAGAAGAAAUAGCCAAGGUUUUUUGAACGAGAGUCGGAUCAACAAAUGAGGCAUUAUAAAAAGUGAUGAUAAAAUAAGCCAUAAAAUUCAUGUAGCACAAUAUAUCCCUUAAUUAAUAGAUAAUCCAGUAUAAAACAUCUCAAACAUCACAAUCAAGCAAGCUAUGUAGGAUGUGAUUUUACACGGAUCAACAAACUGGGAAUGCCAAAAGUUUAAAAUAGAGUAACCAGCCAAGGAGAAUCUUGAAAUUUUGAAAGAACUUUUUUCCUUUAUGAUUCCCAGGUGUUAUGUAAUUAUAAUUCUAAUUAUAAUACUCAUAAUUGUUUACGAGUAUAAUUAUCUUCAUUACUCUUACCAUUUUUCUAAAUUGGAACAAGACAAUGCAAUCAUUCUACUCAUCCCUAUCGGCAACAUGCCAAAUAGCACAACUUGGGCAUGGUGAAGCUCAUACAAGUUCCCACUGUACUUGUAUAGAACUCUGGAAAAAAGUAAAAAGUUAAAAAAUGGAGGAGCAGAAGAAGUAUUACUUGAUCAUACAGCCCAGCAUCCUGACACUGGCGAGAAGCUUCAAGCAGAAAUUGCUGUCUUGCUUUUACAUCAGUCAGAAAACGAGCCAGUUCACCUUCUUCUCCAGCACCUCUCGGACCAAGUAAAAGAUAAAUCCCACCAUCCCUUAAUAACAGUUCAGUGAGGAGUUGCUUCAGCAUCAGAUUUCUCUGCCAUUGCUGAUCUAUAUUGCCCCUUCCAGUCCAUGACAACUGUCCACCUCCCACUGCAGCAGCAGCUUGUGCAUAAUAUUCUAAUGCUGUUGAAAGAUCACCAGCACGUAAAUACACUGAUCCGUACUGCCGGAUUAUGCUAGAUGCCUCUGCAAAAGCAUCCAUCACCCCCAAUUUCUGUCCUACCCCAGCACCUUCUGAAAGGACCCCAUGGUCUGCUAGAACAAUUGAUAUAUGGGUAGCAUCAACAUUAUACCCUUCAACUCCCAUUUCCUUAGACAAGUAUAGGACUGCUGGUAGCAACUGGAUACUUAGAAGUAAAACAUAUGGAUAUACCAGAGGGUCCUUUCCAUUUUUUGUAUAAUAUGAUGGCUCAAAUUUAUUUAGGUAAUUCUGCAAAUCAUCCAAACUGUAUGGUACCAAGCCCUCAUUCAGGACAACAGAUGAGGAUCCACCUGGACAGUCCCGCACAGCUGACAAUUUGAACCACAAGAAAUCCUCUAUGGUAUUGAAAAGAGUUGGAAGAUCUCUGAGCAAGCGAUCAAUAUGCCUGCGAGAACCAGAUAUGAUAGCAUAAAGCAGCAACCUUUUUUUGUCAUAUGCUGCACGACCCACACGAUCGCCCAUUCUUAACAUUUUAUCGCAUUCCUCUGAAGCAACUGCUGCAAUCUCUGCUGAUACCAUACCUCUUGUAGUAAUCCAUUCUGUGAGCUGUCAAGAAGGGCAAAAAUGACUAAGAUCAAAUAAAGACUCCCAUGUAUAAAGUACAACCAAUAAAUAAUCAAUACCUGAGAAGCAAACUGAUUUGAAACACGAGAUGAUCUGGCAACCUCUAUUGCUUCCUCGUAAUACCCAGUCCUCAAGCAAAAAUAAAUCUGUUGUUUCAAAGUAGAAAUAGGAGUCAGAUGGAAUGGGCACUAUUUCCAAAAACAUAAUUAGAUAUUGAAGGCUACAAGUAGAUUUAAUAUGUGAACAACAUAAUAAAUAAAAGAAAUAAAUUAAGUGAUUUUUCCAUUCUAUAUGAACUUGUGAUUUCAAAUGGCAUUCAUCUUGCUUGCUUACAAUCAUUUGCAUGAAAAGCAACUGAAAGGUAUUCUAAUUCUCUUCCAUACUUCCUCUAGUCAUUAUUACAAAACCCUAAGAAACAAAAGAAAACAAAGAGAGAGAGAGAGUGGACUCGUAAAAAAGUGUACCAGGCCCACACAAAAGCAGAUAAAGAAAAAAGACCAACUUAAUCAACCAUACACAUGCCCUAAAUUAAUAAUCCAGUCCCCCCAUUAAUUCAGGAUAUCCACAAAAAUUUGAAGUUACAGUUUCUAUAAAGAGUAUAGAUUCACCCAGCUCACCCAUUUGACACACAAUGGGUGUAGGAGUGGUGACCUUAUUAGAUACUCCCUACUUUGAUUCAGAUAUGGCUGUUUGAUUUUGAUUGAUUUUUUUUUUCCUACCUGUUUAACUGAUAAUUACCUUAGAAAGGGUAAAAAAUUGCUGGAAAAUAAAUUUCCAAAAAAAUAUUUAAGGAUAAGAAAGAAAAGACGGAUAAAAUAGAAAAGACAGGAGUUCUUAUCAAUUAUAUUUUUGCUUUUGAUUGAUCACUAAUUAAAUUUUUCUUUCUUUUUUUUUCCCCUUCUAUUAUGCCACAUCCAAAUGUUCACCCAUUAUUGAGAUCCUAUAUUCAAGUCGUGGGUGUGAAGAACUAGACAUCUAGACACAUACUUGUACCUGAAACCGGGACUCAAACCCGUACAACAUAACUCAAACAUGGUACAACUUUUAGAGAUUAUGCAAAUUUUCUCAAUUGAAGCUUUCAGAUACCACAUUGAUUUAAACUUGUCAGCUAACAUGGAAUCUGAGGGUACAACAUAAUUUGAGCAAUCAAAGCAAGAGAAUAUAAGAUGAAGUAGCAUGUUAACUAGCUAAAUCACCAAGGACAGGAUUGAUGAAUCAUCAUUUCUUGCAUGUGCACAUCAAAAUCAAAGGCUUCCAGAUACAACAUUGAUUUCAACUUGUGAGCUACCAUGUAAUCUGAGACUAUGACAUAAUUUGAGGAACCACAGAAAAGGAAAAUACGAUGAAUCAGCAUGUUAACUAGCUACAUCACCAAGGACAGGAUUGACCAAUCAUCAUAUCUUGCAUGUGUACAUUAAAAUCAAAGGCUUCCAUGAAGGAAAAUGCUGGGUAAAAGGUACAGAAUCAGGAUAGAAGGGCACAAAACCUGCUGCCAAGUGGUAUCAACAGGAGGUUGUCUACGAGCAUCACCUGCAUCAAAAUCUAGAACCCCAUAGUCUCUCAAACGAAUCUGCCAUGGGAGAAAUAGAAAAAAAAACUAGUAAUUAUGGGUAAAUAGGCAUCCAGACUCCCCAACAUCAAAACCAUUAACAACUGAAUAUAGAAAUAUUAUGACAAACCCGAAGAAAGGCAUGGAUUCUUUGCAGAUUUCCAACAACCCCACCAAGAGCAGCCUACACUUGGAUCAAAAGGAUGAUCAGGGGAAAAAAAAAACCACAUCAGGUAACUAAGAGCUGCUCCACAGAAGCAAAAAUGCUAAGGUUCUUCAAUCAUUAUGAAAAAAAUAAUUCAAAUGAGCAAGGAAGUAUACUAAGAGUUAGCUGAACAAACAGAGAAGCGAUAAUUGAUCAAAACAUUAGUGCUCAUGGAAGUAUAUGACACCAUCAACCAGCACUAAGAUUAUGAUAAACAACUUUAUUACCUGUGCAGGAUGACUUUGUAUCGUAUCUAUCAUAUAUUUCUCAUGUCCCCAUUCGAGGUGGCGCCUAGCACCAAUUACUAAUGACAUUUUUUUUGAAACAUUCCAUUGAGCAGCUGUAUCCUCACCCAUUAAUGUCUGUCAAAUAAUUGAACCAUUAACCACUUGCCAGAAAAUAAUGAAAGAUAACCUGAGCUUAUAAUUGGAAAGCAUACCUGAAUCAGGUGCCAAAUCUUCUGCAUGUUAACAGAUUUGCCACCAGAUGUCUCAAGGCCCAAACUAUCAUAAGCACCCUUGAAAGCUGUAGCAGGCUAAUAAGAAGGAAUACAUUUUAAAAAAGAAGUCAAAAAGUAAAAUAGUAAACCAGAGAAAUAACUUAAUCCAAGUGCACAACCACCAAGAUGAGAUCAUUGCUUGAUAUAUCGUAACAUUCAUAUCCUAACCAGAGGCUUGAUUGUAUAAUUACUAUAGAGAGAAGAAAAGAACUUUAGAAUAACACGUAACGAAGCAUACCUUAAAUGGUAAGCCACGCUCUCUUGCACUGUUGAGAUUCUUCACAACCUCAGCAUAAACAGAAGUUUUUUUCUCGAGGACAGGCUUGUUAGCUAGAGGUACAAGCUCCAUACUAGACAGACCAGAUGAAACCUGAGGACUGGAAAUCAUGGAUGCAAUUUGACCUGGACGAGUAGCCCCAGUGCUUGAAUCACUAAUAUUAGUCUUGGGCAAUGUUGAUAUGCGGCUCAAGCUUUGAAGGAAAUCCCUUUUUUCCUUUUGCCAAUCCUCCUGUCAAAUAUUGAAUUCCACACUGAAGUCAGGGCUAAAAGCAACAAGGGCAAAAAAAAUAUUUCCUUGGACUUCAUUAAACUGUUUGUACUUCUUGUCAACACAACAGAAGAUUGUGUGCAUGAAAGAAAGAAAGAAGGAUUGAAAAACAUCACAUGAACCCAUAAUAGUGCACUGACCUCCAUAACUUUCAUCAUGUAAUCAUUAAAACUUUUAAGGUUAUCUUUCUGUGCUUCCUGGAUAGCGGAAACUAUUGCCAUCUCAUGAACCUGAGGUGCAAAUAUAGCAAAACAAUAUGAUCAAGCUGCAAAUGCCAAUCAUUCUUAAGGCAUGUGUUUGAAAAACCUAAACAUUGUAACUUGUAAGAUAGUUCAAAGACAGUAAUACCAUGCAACCAAAUAUGAAAAUUUUGUACAAAAUACAGCCAUGUCACUCAGACAGCAUAGUUAAACAGACACAUGAUAUAAGAGAUCAUCCAUGAAACUUUAAUUGCCAACAAAAAAAUUACUCAUAAUUGACAGGGGGAAGAAGACAGGAAACACUUUAGUGCUGUCAAGGUCUGAACUCAUGUGCUAAAAAGACAGGUGUGUAGACAUAACUCUUUCUUAGGGAGAGGAAAAAGAGAGAGAUAGAAAGAGAGAAAAGAAGAAACUCAUGCUAUGACUUUGUCAGUGGUGAAUCUGGUCAUGUCUCUCGCCCUUAAUUUUUUCUUCUACCCUUUCAAAAGGAAAGUUAGAAUCCAUAUUCCCCCAUUGUGUUUAUAUGCCUUAUUCAGGGAUUUUGAAGAGAUUCUCCAAGCCUAAAAAUAAUGCAUGUCCUAUCAAAAAAAAAAAUAAUGCAUGCAUGGACAGUGUUUUAAACUCUUAGCUACAAAUUGAGCUUCAGUCACUUUGGAAGCGUCAAUAAUUUUUUUUACAAAACUUUUGAAGAAAUUCUCCAAGCCUAAAAAUAAUGCAUACAUGGACAGGGUUUUAAACUCUUAACUACAAAUUGAACUUCAGCCACUUUGGAAGUGUCGAUAAUUUUUUUAACAUUUAUAUAAGUACUUCAUCUGAAAAGGUAGUAGCCAAGCCACAAAAUCAAGAUUUAGUUUUUCUCUUUUGUAUUAUUACUGCUCGUGAAUAGUAACAGAAAUGUCAGGCAGCAAGAUUGACUACUGACUAAUAUAUGGCCAUUGCUUGUGGCUCAUGACAAAUGUCAUUGGCUCAGGGGAAACAACCAAACUUCAACAUCUCUCCACCCUUCCAAACAAAGAAAAUAAAGACAGAAAAAGAGAUGUCAUAGAAAAUUAUAAUAAACUCUCAAAUUUUUCUUCACUUCAAAACUUGUGUGCUCUAAUAUUAAAAUGAAAAUGAUUUUUUAAUGAGCAUUAAGUUGUUAAGGAUGAUUCUACAAGUGUGGUUCUUUAUUCUAUAGAUUACACGCAUGAAUUUAACCACUGAAAUCACUCCUUUUCUUUGAUGUCAUAAACAAGAAAUAACAUGUUACUAUAAAACUGACAAAGGGUAUCAAUUAUGCCACACCAUUAGAUGCCAAUAAACACAUAUGCCGAUCGAAGCAAUCUAAAAUUAAUAAAAAUAGAAACUAAUGAUAAUAAGAAUCAAGACAUUGAUAUUUGUAAUUUGUAUUGCCACUAAACAAUUAAAGCAGUGAAUUCUACCUGCUGCAGGUAUUCCUCGACACUUGUUGCCUCAGCAGGGAAAACAUCCUCAAAUGUUGUCUUCAAGAAGGAGAAAAAAAUAAAUAAGCAAAAGUAUAUUUGAAAAGAAAUUGGAACAGAGACUAGAAAAAGGUAAAAAUAAAAAAGUAAUAAUAAUAAUAAUAAUCAAGAAAAAGAAAAAUUUAGAGAAAUUUGAUAGCGAAGAGCUACAUGGCUAGCCAAUAAAUUAAAUGAAAAUCAUAAUACAAAUUAGACAAUGAGAAAAAGGACCUAUGGAUAAAAAGAUCACAAGCAUUUAAAUUAAGUUUAUCUAAUAAAAUGUAUGGAUAUUUCCAAAUUAAAUCUUUACAAUAAAAUAUAUGGAGAUUUCCAACUGCAUUUUAUUAUCUUUACCAAUCAGUUUGCUCUUUGAUCGAAAUAUAAUGUCUAAGCAUGACAUAUAUUCCAUGCUUUUUUUCUGAUAGGUCAAAAAUAAAAAAAUGCAGGGACCAUCUGUCAUUCCUUAACAUGGUUAAGGACAUGGUGUUCUCAGCCUUUGAUUAUUAAAGGAAGGAGUAAUCAGGAAUCAAGCUAAUUAGUGGAAAGAGGAUAGCUUCAGUACUCUCUCUCUCUACCACUUCCAUCUUAAGUUCCUACCUCGAGGUAUAGAAGCCUUCUACUCAACUCCUUCCUAAUGAUUAGGAGAUAUUGGAGAGAAGAUAGAUAUCUCAUUUUUCUCUUUAUUUUUUUCUUUUCCUUUUCUUUUUCUUCUUUUAUUUUAUUUUAUUUUUUUUGGAAAUUUGUUAGAAAAGAAAGCAAAAAGGGAGUCAAGCACACAUGUGGUAUAAGGACAGUAAGCCUUAACAAAGUUACAGGAGGCAAAUCAAAGCCAUUGGGAUAGUCCCUAUCUCCAAUAGGGAACUCCACAAAUACAAUGACUACAUGAGAAAUUUUUCAGCUCCAAAGGAAAGAGUUCUCACAAGAAGAAAAUCCUUUUAUUCUGCACUUUUACACGCCAAUCUCCAACAAAACCCAUCUUGACCCAAACAAGGAAAUUAUGGAGAAAAGACUCUAGGCCCCAACUCCAAUAACACCCAUCCAUGAAAACAUUCAAGGAGAAUAUAGAAACUUCUGCUUUUUCCAACCAUCUUAUGCCCUGUUUCCAAAAAAAAAAACAGACUUUAUUCCAGAAACCAUCUUGCCCUACACCAUUUUGUCAGAGCCAGUUGAAUGGGAGAUCCUUGUCAAAAUUAAACAUUCAGUUCGUGAAAACCCCUCCCUCCUACCUAGAAGAGUAGAAUUUCUUUCAUUUCUCUACAUGGUAUAUAAUAUUCUAUCCUGCUUGUAAUUUUCUAUUUUUGAUGAUUCACAUAAAUUGAACUAAUCAAAUUCAAUAUUUUGGUUCUAUCUUGGAGCAUAUAUUUGUUAUAAACACCAAAUUCUAGUUGUGAGAACUAAUAAGGGCUAUGAAUUGACACACUUGAGCAUACACAAAAGGAAAGAGAAGAGCAAUAGCUUGAGGGUUUGUUUAGAAACUGUUCUUAAAAAUAUUGCCAAACAUACCCUGAAAUAUUUUUUUCCAUGUGGGCAAUAGUUAUUAGUCCAAAACAUAACAUCAGGUAGAAAAAAUAUGUAAAACUCCAUAGAGCAUGGAUAUACAUUUUAUAAGAACUUUUGCAUACAAAGCAACUCGUGAACCAUGUGAAACGAUUAAGAAUUCUGCAGUCAAUCAAGCAAGAUCGGGGAUCAAAAUCAAUGCACAAGGAGCAUUCACCUUCAACUCAAAAGACUUGAGAUCCCGAGCAAGCUGUUCUGCAUUUAGUCCCUCACGUGCCAAUAACCUGUAAGCGAAACAAACAAGAACAUUUAUGGGAGAAAAACAAAACUAGGAAAAAUGAAGAACGUGAACUAUUAAAAGUGAUGAUACACUUUCAGACUGAAUGCUUCAACUAUUCCAUUCAGGGUGAUAUGCAUCAUGCCACUAUAAUAGUUCUUCUAUUCCAAGCAAUCAUCCAUUAUUUACUCAUUAAUUAAAAUAUAUUGCCACAUCACACAGAGGGGGUGUUUCACAGUAGAUCAAUUGAAGGAAGUAUCAUUUUCCAAAUAUCAAAUGGAAUAGCUUCAGAAAAAACCUAAACUGCAGUAAUAAUAUUGCUCUGAUUUUGCCCUAGAAUGCUAGAGAGAGAGCUAAGGAGAGAGAGAGGGGAUGUACCUUGUGGCUGCAACGGAUUGUGAUGGAGCUUCAGCUCUUAGGGUUUUUGACUUUAGCUUCUUAGAUAACGCUUCUAAUUGGUCUAAGUUCCUCUGAAAUAGACGCAAAUAGUGAACUCAGUUUCAGGAGAUUUAGGUAUUCAGAUGCUUCGUACAGUGCCAGACAGGUUGAGGAAAAUAAAAGGGAGUAACAUUUUUAAUCUUAGGUGUGGACCAGCAUUUUUCACUUGCAUUCCCAUGUCUACAUUAGGAUUUCCAAUUAGUAGGGGAAACAAACCCACAUGAGACGAACCUAAUGCAACUAUUUCAAUUCGUUCCGACAGACUUUCAUUAUUUGGAAAUGAAAAAUGAAGAUAAAAUAACAAUUUUCCUCCAAACGUUUUUCCAUUGUUUUUGUCCUCGUGAAAAAUGAAAACCGGAUUCAACCAAGCCAAGUAGUUGUACUACUUCCAGCUUAAAUUUUUCCCAUUCCAAGAUUCCUAUUCUGUGAGAAACGUACGAUGAAAGUUCGAAUUCCUCUUCUCUCGCUACGUUUUCUCAUCAAUCAGACGAAUAUUGAGAUAAAUCCAAAAUAAAACAUACCAACUUCUGGUUAUCCCUUUGAAUAUAGUUUUGACUAAUUUAGUUUCCUGCAUUUUCAGGGCAUCCGAAACUAGAAUUAUAAAAAGAAGGCAACGAAAGAAGAACCUGGAGAGGAGGGAACUGAGCCGAAGGAGCGGCUUGUUCGAGAAGCUUCGUGGAGGAGUGGAGGAGAUCGGUCCAGGAACUCAUGUCGGAGUCGGUGGCCAUGGUUGCUGACUUCGGUGUGUGAGAGAGAGGGGGAAGGGUUUUAUUAAGCCCUAAUUUUGAAAGGAGAGAGAGAACGGUAAAGUGGUGUUCUUAACGCGGUAGUCCCGUGGGGAGGGGUGUACUGUAUUUAUAUGCUCCUUCUCCACUGUCGAAUCUUGGCCGUUGAUUUCAGUGGUAAAAGUUCUAUCGGGCGGUCCUUUUGAGUUUUCAGUGAUUCCGUUAAUGUAUGAUUUAAGUAUCCACCGUUGGAUUGCCCUUAUUGGUUGACCUGCGGUAAAAAUUUGUUUUCUAUUCCACGAAAUUAAUUUAGAAGGAAUCCAGGGAGGGGGAAUUACUCGGAGACCCUUCUUAUAAAUAAUUUUCUAUUCUUUAAUUUUUUUUAAAUAUGUUUAACUAAUUUUGGAUAAAAAUUAAUUUUAAAAAUAUAUAUUUAGGAAAUAUAUUAUUUUUAAAAACUUAAAAAAAUAAAUAAUAUUUUAAAAUAAUUGAAAUUUGUAUUUAAGAACGGUUUCAAAGGUUGUUUUUUAGUAACUAUUUUAAAAAAUGCUUUCAAAAAAAUCUUCAAAGUUUUGUUGAAUAACAUUUUUUUAAAAACAAAUCAUUUUAAAAAAUAAUUCUUAAUUAUUGUUAGAAAUAAAUUGUGAAAAUGCAACUGCCAAUUGUAUUAUAUUUAAAUUAUUUAAAAAAACACAAGUAUAGUAUAUGUUAUUAAAAAUUUAUUAUUUAGUAAAGCCUGAUUUAAAUAAAUAAAUAGAGAGAUAGAAUGCCCUCCAUAUUGCCAUAAAAUCAAUUUCGAUUGAUAUUUAUGUUCUAAUCAUUGAGCGAAAGGGCGAGCCAGUGUUGAGGAUGCGGAGGGUAAAUGGUAUUUUGCGGCAGAGCCAGAAAGCCCUGCAAGAUCUGGAUUUGCUCAAGGUACUCCAAUCUGAGAUCAGACACGAACAAUCCCAUGAUCGAUUUCAGGUACCCUUCAACACAAUCUCUAAUCCAGCCUCAUUAACUCGCUCCGUUGCGUUUCUAUAUUUCGUCACCAAAACGAGAAAGAAGGCCGGAAUAAUCGUCCUAUUUCCAUGAAUGCAGAAUUAUCAAGGCGGUAAUCCGGGAGAUUUCGUGGUGGACUGGGACUCACCAGCUUCUCAAGAUGUGGUUUUGCGGAGGAAGUGCGAGUCGGGUGAAGAGGUCGCUGUCUCAGCCCUUCUGAGUCCCAUAACCUUUAGAAACGAGGAGGGUUCAUUUCCAAGGGACCUUCUGAUGAAGGUGUGUGUAAAGAAACCUGGUUUGAGUCCUGUUUUGCAGUUUGAUUGUGGAGUUUUUAGCAAAGACCAUGAAAGGUUGGAGUUCAACAUCCACAGUGCAUAUUAUAUUCCCUCACCGGCUUGUCUGAAUCCCUCAGCCUACAGAGGGCCCUCAUUCAGGUGCAAUUCUCUGUCAAUUGGCUUGAUUAAUGAGCAUUGUUUGCGAGAUUUUUACGUAUUUAGAGAGAAAAAAAAAAAAACCCUUCAAGUAUAUUAUCGUCUUUACUUGGCAAAGAAUGUGAUUUUAUGCCUUAUUGUCUAUAUUUUGAUGAUUUUGAAAUUGAAUAUCUGGGUCUGCGAAUCUUAUCUACAUUUGUAUGCGCAAGCCAUCUUCUUUAGAUUCUUUCGUUUGUUCUUGGAGUUAUUGCUCAAUUCAAGAACAUGAUUUCAAAUCAUGCAGCAUAGGUGGGCAAACAUAAAACACAAAGCCCAUGUCCCAUGACUAAUCGUUACUAGAAGCAAAACAAAUUGUGUCAUGAUCCUGCUAUAUAUAAGUGAUGAUGAUUUUGAAAUCGAAUAUCUAGGUCUAUGAUUCUUAUCUACUUUGUAUGCAUAAGCUAUCUUCGUUAGAUUCUUUCUUUUGUUCAUGGAAUUAUUGCUCAAUUCAAGAACGUGGUUUCAAACCAUGCAGCAUAGGUGAGCAAACAUAAAACACAACCUAUGUCCCGUGAUUAAUCACUACUAGAAGCAAAACAAAUUGUGUCAUGUUCCUGAUAUACAUAUAUAAAGUGAUGGUAAAUCGUCACUUUUGGGGGGCGUUAGCACUCAUAGCCAAUGAGAUGUGUAGCAUUGGUUUUUUUUUUUUUUUUUAAUCAGCAACGAAGAAUAUAUAAAGACACCAAAUAAAAGGAGGGGGAGCACCUAGGUGCAUGGGAGGUAUACAAAGGGAGCCAACAAAACAGAAACACCACAAAAGAGCAAAGAAAACAUCCUCCCACUAACUAACACACAGUUGGCCAAUAAGAACUAACAAGGAACCAGGACCCUUUUGAAUAUAUAGGUGAGUCUAGUGGAAAAGGGUACAAAUAAGAGAGUUCUUUAAAGCUUGAUCCCAGCGUUAAAUUCUAUCAAAGUAUUUUUAAUUCCUCUCUUGCCAAGAAUCCAAAACAAGCAAAGGGGGUUGUCCUUCAAAUAUUUUUUCUAUUUUUGCUAACAAAACUCCCAUUCCACCCUUCAGCUAAUCUUUCACCAAGAAUGGGAAGACCCAAGAACAACCAAAGAGAGAAGAUAACAAAUGCCAAAGACCCCUUACCUUUGCACAAUGGAUUAGCAAGUGAUUAGCCGAUUUUUCUAAAUUCAUGCAUAAACAACAAUUGUUUGCUAACACCCAUCCUCUUCUCUUAAGAUGACCUAAGGUCAAGAACUUUCUCAAACCGCCUCUGAAGCAAAAAGCCCACCUUUAAAGGCUCUCAAGAGCCCCACACUAGCUUAAAGGGGAAAGAAAUACCUUUAGCCGACUCUAAGAAAGAGUAGAAAGAUUUCACUGAGAACUUCCCACACAUGCUAAUCUUCCAAAUCAGUUUGUCGUCAUUCUCACUACACUUCCCAAGCACAUGUAGCAUCCUAAGUAACUCCUCAAUGGUAUGUAGCUCUCAAUCUUGAAACUGCCUUAUGAAUCCUGGGUUCCACACAACCUGUUUGCUAACGACCUCCCUAGCACUCACCACCCAAGCCUCUUUAUUAGAAGAAAAAGAGAAGAGAGACAAAAAAGAAUCCUUUAAAGGAGCCUCCCCACACCAAACAUCAAGCCGAAAUUUUGUUUUUCCAUUGCUAACCAUAAAACUUGUUUUGGCCUUAAAGGCUUCCCAACCUCCUCUUAUUGCCUUCCACAAGCCAACACUAUAACUCUCUCUCCUAGCAAGAGAGAACCAACCUCCAAGUUCCUCCCCAAACUUUCCCACUACAAAUCGUCUCCAAGGGGACUCCCUUUCCAAAGCAAAUCUCCAACACCAUUUUCUAAGCAAGACUAUAUUAAGAGAGGACAAGACCCUAAUACCAAACCUUCCUAGCUUCUUGUAUUUUCAAACAAAAGACCAUUUGACUAAGUGAGGUCUUCUCUCAAGAAGUCCCUUUGAAUUUUUUCUAACGUUAAAGUCACCAUUGUAGGAAUUAUUGGAAGAGACAUAAAAUAGAUGGACAUAUUGCAUAGAGUACUUCUAAGCAAAGUAACUUUACUACCCUUUGAAAAGCACUGUCUUUUCCAAAGGGCUAACCUUUUAUGAAACCUCUCCUCAACCACAUCCUACAUAGAAGGGGACUUAAACGGAGCACCCAAAGGCAAGCCUAAAUAAGUAGAAGGGAGCUUCCCCACUUUGCAACCCAAUAAAGAGGCAAACUCCUCAACAUUAAGGACUUCCCCCACCAAAAUCAACUUGCUUUUAUAUAAAUUAAUUUUCAGCCCUGAAAAAGUUUCAAACCAAAACAGAACCCAACUCAAGUAAAUCAAUUGGUCCGAACAAGGCUCACAAAAGAGUUGGGUAUCAUCCGCGAAUAGGAGGUGAGAAAUCUCCACUUCUUUUUUCCUUUUACCUCCUACCUUGAAACCUAAAAUGAAAUGCCCCUCACCUACCUUUCUUAAUAGAAUACUAAGAGCCUCCAUCACUAACACAAAUAGAUAUGGGGAUGGAGGAUCCCCUUGCCUUAGACCCCUUGAGCUCUGAAAGAAACCAAUUGACGAACCAUUAACUAAGAUCGAAAACCUAGUUGUUGAUAUACAAAAUUGAAUCCAAUCAACCCAUCUUCGAUCAAAACCCAUGCCAAUUUUCUGCAACACUUCCAAAAGGGCAGGUCCAAUUAACAUGGUCAUAGGUUUUCUCAAUGUCCAACUUACAAAUCACUCCUCUUUGACUCCUUAAUCUUGAAUCUAUAACCUUGUUUGCAAUUAGGGUUGCAUCUAGGAUUUACCUACUUUGCACAGAAGCAUUUUGAGAAUUGAACACCACUCUUGCUAUAACUUUCUUUAGCCUGUUUGCCAAAACUUUAGCUAGAAGUUUAUACAAACUUUGCAUUAAAUUAAUUGGUCUAAAGUCUUUAAGUCAUCGACUCUCCUCUUUUUUCAGAAUUAAGUCUAAGAACAUGGCAUUUAGGCUCCUUUCAAAAGAUCCUCAGGUGUGGAAUUCCCUAAACAGACCCAACACUUCAUUCUUAAGAAAGUCCUAACAGGUGCUGCCAUAAAGCUAAAGGAAAACCAUCUUGACCGGGGCCUUUGUCUCCUCCAAUUCUAGCAACGCUGCAUAAACCUCCUCAGUGAAAAGCCUCUUCCAACCCUCCAGAAGCCUCAAUGCUUAGCCUUGAAAAAGGCAACCCAUUAAUACUUGGUCUCCACAGGCCACCUGAAUCCGCCAACAGAAGCUGGCAAUUGUUAACAAUUUUUUCUGAAAUUUGAGGCUCCUCCGUAACCCACUCUCCAUUCACCUUAAUUCUUCCUAUGAGAUUUCUUUUGCAAUGAGCAUUAGCCAUCUUAUGAAAAAACUUUGUAUUUUUGUCACAUUCUUUCAACUGCAAUUCCCUAGAUUUUUGCCUCUAGGAGGUUUCUUGUUUGUUUAAGUCACUAUGAGGUUCUAAGUGUAAGCAUUCAUUACCACAGCAAACAAGUUUACCUUGUAUUUGCAAAUAACACCUACUCACCUGUAGAGCUUUUUAUGUUUUAAAUUGUUGUACUAAAUUUACCUUCUAUAGCAAUUUAUGUUAGAUGGAACAUUGUAUCCUACAUAAUUAAUAUUUUGGCACUCAAACAAAAUAUCAGCAGAGGCUACAUUAGAUUUGGUGUCUAAAAUGUUGGAUAUCAUCUGGGAGCCUUCAUUUUAUUUUUGGGCAUUUUCGAGCAUGGAUGUUGCUCUAAGCACAUAUGAAAGUUGUUUUUCCCACUUUUGCACUAUUGAACUGGAUUACUAGAAAUCAGGUUUCUGUUCCCUUUUUACCCUUUUUCUAUGUACAGCAGAAGCACUUCCUCUUUAUCCCUUCUUGAUGUAUUUUAAAUACUAAUUGGUUUAGGCAGUUGAAGCCUUGAAGGAUGAAUCAAGAUUUUGGUAAAAACAUGAUUAGUUGCCUGGUGGCUUCAAUUUGGUAAUCAGGUUUGGAAUUCUUUGGAAGUUCAUCAUCCUUAAAUGUUGUAGAUGCCAAAAGAAGCAUCCUCUUUCCAGUUUUGGUUUUGGAAAACUGGCCCUAUUCUCAUGUAUUUAGCAUCCAACCUACACACUCAUCUAUUCUCACUCAUUUAUCCUCUUUUCCAUGCUUAGCAAAGCUUUGAAUAUUUGCCAACUAUUUGGUUGCUUGUCUCUGUUAUUGUCUGGCAUUGAUAAAAUGAAAUAUUUAAUUGUUGGUAGGUAUGCUUAAUACAUUUUACUAGUUAACUCUAUUAUUGUCUCUUAAGAAUGGGACAAUAAGAGAAACUUUUGGAUUCUAGUCUCUAUAUGGGUGCUUCAGGGGGGAGGCAGGAGCAGCUUAAUUGUUAAUUGGAGGCAAGGUAGUGGAUUAUAUGAAAGUGGGAGUUUUUGUGAGGAGAAAUUCUUUUUUCAUACAUUCAAAUCUAAAAGCUAUAGUGUGAGAAUAAAAUAAAAGCAUUUUAAGUUCUUAUUUGGUGCAAUGCAUUACAGGAGCAGUUUCCCAUCACAAUCAAAUUAGCUUAAGUAAUGUGUCCCAUCACUGGUAACAGAAAAUCUCUGAGCAUCUUUUAGUGUUCCCAGGCCACUCGGAGACCCCACAUUCCCUUUGUUUUCAGCCUUAAUUGGCUAAUAACUCUUAUGACCCACAGGGUUUAGUUUUUUGUCCUACGUGGCCUACUUCCUAGGCCCAUCUGAGGCUUGUUUGGCUAUCCCAAAUUGAUUUAACAAAACCUUGACUCCAAACUAUUGGAGGGCUGAUUACUGGAACCUUUUUUUUGUUGCUCAAGUCCAUCUAGUACCGUAAUCCUUCUAAAAUGAUUGCAAUUAUGUUGUUUUUUAAACACCCUUAAUCCAUCUUUUUAAUGAACUUCUUCUUAUUGUUGUCUUCUGAGCUUUGGCACAUUCACUUGUCUUCAUCCAACCUGGACACCUUGAUGUCACUUUGUUUUUCCGUAUGCAUAUAGAAAUCAUAAGGCUACAGUUGCUGCCUCCUUAGUGGCCAAUAUAAGAAUAGAUCUAAUGUUUGCCAAUGGCUUAAUAUUGGGUUGGAAGGGGCUUUGACAAAUGAACCUGAGUUUUGAUGCCCAAUUCUGAAACCACAUAAGAUAUGAAAUGUGUAGAAUCUGUAUUGGGAAUGGUGUUUGGCAUGCACCUCUAGUGGCACAUCCAUGAAAAUGACUGAAACUGAAACAGCGUCUAACAGGAUAACAAAUACUUAUAUUUGAAGUGUCCUUAUCAGGCUUGUGGUUCAUACUUUAGAGGGGGGCUUCUUCUCAGGUUCUCAGUUUUCUUGGGGGCACCCAUCUAUUAUUAAACUUCAACCUGUCUUUUUAUCUUUUGUGGUGAGUCUGUUCAAAUACCUAACCACCCAACUAAUUUCCUUUUUUAUAUCCCUAUGCAGUUCGUUGGACCCUAAUUUACAGGACGCACUCAAGGAGUAUCUACUAGCCAGGGGUAUCGGAGACGACCUGACCAACUUCCUUGUCAUUCACCUUCAUAGAAAGGAGCAAACCCAAUAUACGAGCUGGUUGCAUAAACUGGAAGCUAUGAUGGCAAAGGACGAUUGAUCUGAAGAGUGGCCAUCACCAGGUUUAACUCACACAUGCCCCAUUCAUUGUUUAACAUGCGCACUCCAUCUUCUGUUGUCGGUUUCCCUUUACAUCUCAAUCUUUAAUCAGUAAUGGAGUUUAUUUUUAAUUUUUUUCCCAGAGCUAUAUUCACUUAUAACCAUGCCGUAAGCUUGUUAGAAUCUUUUACUAUUGAAAUUGGGAACUUAUGAUGGGUUCCCUUAAAUUUAUUUGAAUUUGCCCUGAUGUUCGAUGGGUAUUUCUUCAUUCUAUCUUUUUCUCUUUCUUUCAGUGAUGCCACAUCCUCACGAAAGCAACUCCUACAAAAUUCGCUGCCAUCAAACCGGUUAGGGGUGAUGCUAGAUAUCACCAAAAUAAAUAAAAAAAUAAAAAAGUAAUCACAUGUGCCUAUGUACUUUUAGAAGAAAAUUGCAAGUGUGAAUCUGUUGGUGAGCUCUGAGAGGUGAGAAUUACUGCCUUGGAAAGUCGCACAUUAAGAAAUUCUUUUCCCUUUUCAUUUUCUUGGAAAAUGUGACGGAGCAGUAAGGCUGCAACUAUUGGCAUGGGCAUAUGAUGAGACCAAGACUCAGUGGCAUGAGGACUAAACUUUUUCAGAAGAAAGAAAUGAUUGGCAUGGGCACACAAUGAAACCAAGACUCAGUGGCAUGAGUUUUUAAGAAAAAGAAAUGAAAGGAAAAAAAUUAUUCCUUUGCUUGUUUAUUAGCAAGGAACAAAAUUAAAUAUAUAUUAUCUUACUAUAAUGUCUUUGUAUAAAAUAAAAUAAAAAAUUACAUUUAUCAUUGUAUAGAUAAGACAUAUUAAAUAAAUGAAUAUAGAAAGAAUUAAAAUUUAUUUCUUAAACUUAUUAUUGUUUGAUUAAAUAAAUUAUUAUACCUACUUUAUUUUAUCUUAGCAACCUUAUCCAUUUUAGAUCAGAUCUCAAGCAAAAAACAAAGAUUCAUGGAAAUGAAAUUUAAAAGAGGAUAAGAGAAUGAGUUGUUCAAAUUAUGGGGUGGUCCGGAGAAGCAUUCCAUGAAUUAAAGAUGGCCUAUAAUGUGAGGUGUUGGAUCAAGUAAAUCAUAUGGUAAAAUUGUUUGGGUUUGGAAAAUAGAUCAAAUCAAACAGACCACUCUUCUCUUGAACCUUGGAGGAAUCUCUCCCAGUCCCACUGAUAUUUCCAAAUUUAUUGUUGUAGGAUUUUAUUUUUAAAAUGUAAAAACAAAACUAACUAACUAUCAUAAAUAUAUUUUAUUAUGUGCUCUUAAAGGUAAUAAAAUUAGUAGUGUACCCAAAUUGUGACCCCACCACGAUUCAGUGGAAAAGUGUAUUUUUCUUAAACUUUAACAGAAAAACACAAGAGGAAUAUUUUAUUUUUUUUGCUUUUAAAUAAGAAUCCGAAGACACAAAAGUGGAGCUAAAGUUGAUCCUUAUCCCUUGAAAGGUAGGGAUAGACUUCGAUGGAAUAAACUGACCGUAGUUAAUUGGAUAUAGUGGAUAGAAGUGUAGAUAAGAGAGAGAGAGAGAGAGAAUAGUAGUACUAAACAAGUAUGGAGUCGUUGGUGUGGUUGGACUUGGAACUUAAGAGGUUGAAGAAGGCAAACUGAUGAAAAUAUCUCUUCUGCAACAAGCUCCACUUCCUAUAUCCUACAUUCCUACCUACCCAAUACCCUCGGCUUUAAUGUAUGUCUCCCAUAUCCACCAAAAUUCUCAACUCAAAAGCCUGUUGAAUAAAUAUCCUUAAGAGGUUGGGUGGGUGGGGUGGGGUGCCCUUGGUCUCAUGUCCAGUUGCGCGAUGAGUUUGCAGAGGCAGCCACUUGGCCCACUUGAUAUAUCGAUAACACUGCACAGUGCACGCUUGCCCACGCCCAGGGGUAAGUGGAUAAACCCCACAAAGGGAUAGAAGGAAGUGGGAUUUCCCAGUUAGCCAGAAAAAAAUGGCAGAGGUGUUUUGGAGAAAUCCAAGCCUCAAAUGCAAUCCUCUCCAGUCUCCACUUGACUUUUGCUUUUUGUACUAGUCUACUAGAAGACUAGAAGCUUUGGUGCUUUGUGAUGGGACUCAGCAAUUAGUAAUUAGUAAUUACUGUUGCAUUCGCUUUCUAACCAAACAUAUCCCAUUAUGAUUUCUAAUUACAAAUUAGCUUGAUUUUAAUCUUCAGUGCCAGAGAUCACCAACUUCUUUAUCAUUUUUUUUCUCUCUCUCCCCUCCAAUAUAACUGGGAGUCUCCUGGCAACUGAAGUUCUUUUUAUCCGCUUACCACCUUGUUUCUUUCUUUUUCUCACUUAUCAUCUAUAAAUAGAAUUGUUUGUUGCAUAGUUUCUUUUUCUCUUUUAAAACAGUUUUAAAAUUAUUUGUUUGCCUUUUUCUCACUUUUAAGGCAUUGCAUAUUUGUGUGUAAUACAAAAAUUCUUAAUAUAUUAUAUAUAUUUUUUCAUUGUUGUUUAUAAAAAAUAACUAAAAGCACUUUAAAUUUAUUCCUCUAAAAUAAAUUAUUUUUCAAAAAAAUCUUAAAAAUACUUUUUAUUAAACCUAUUUUAUAACUCAAAAAACUAUAUUAUUAUUUAGGAUUGCAAUUUUUACGAGUUAAUGUGACCAACUCAAGCCCAAUUCCAAUUAAAAAAUAAUCCACCUAAAUCUAACCCAAAUUCAAUCUAAUCUCAUUUCUUUAAGUUCAAAUAGACUUCAGAUUAGUUAGGUCUGAUCCAAAUUAGUUAAGUUGAUUGGAUUACAUAAUUUAAAAUUUGUAAUUUUUUUAAAAUUAUAUAUUUACAUGAAAAUUUGAAUAAUAGAUAAAAUAAAUUUUCAAGAUAACAAUAAUAAAUAAAUAAAUUUACAUAUCUUUCAAAAUUAAUAAAAAAGUAAAUAAUGUUGUAAAUCAAUGAUAAAUGGAACACAAAUAAAGUAGUAGAGAUAAACUAUAUAUUGUUUUGAUAAUAAUAUAUAAUAGGGAAGAAUAAAUCACGAAAUUGAGAAAACUGAGAUAAUGAAAUAAAGAGAUAAUGAGAGAAUGUAAGAAAUUAGGGGAUGCAUAUUACAAGAGAUAGGAAACCCUUUUAUAGGCUUUUUCAAAUAGCUUUCAUCAAUAUUCCUAUUAAUGAAUAUUAAUGGAACUAUAAAUAACAUUAAUGGUUUUCAUUAAUGAGUAUUAACAGAAGUUAUAAAUAAUAUUUAAUUAACAUUUAUUAUAAUUAAUGUGGUGGUAUUCAUUACUUUAGUCAUAACACUCCCCUUAAAUGUCCACCACAUUGAAGAAUAUGCCUCAUUAAAAACUUGCUAGUAAAAAACCCCAUGAAAAAAACAUACCAAAGGAAAAAUAAUAUAAUAUUCUUAUAAUUCUUUAAGUUACUCUUGGUAUGUUAAGACUGUCUCAUUAAAAACCUUGUUAGUAAAACUCAGUAAGACAAAACUUGGACGAAAGGAAAAAGAGUACAAUACACUAACACCCUUUUACAAACAUACUCCCCCUCAUGUUGAUAUCCUUGAGUUGAUACAUUAUAAUCUUGUGUAUCAACUUCUUGAAUAUUGAGGUUGGUAAUGAUUUUGUGAAUAAAUCUGCUAGAUUAUUACUUGAGCGUAUUUGUUGCUCAUCAAUUUCACCACUCUUAUGAAGUUCGUAUGUAUAAAAGAAUUUUGGUGAAGUGUGCUUAGUUCUAUCUUCUUUAAUAUAACCCUCCGUUAUUUGUGUAAUGCAUGCAACAUUAUCUUCAAAUAAUAUUGUCGGGUCACCUUUGAUAGAGGAGAGUCCACAUGAUUCCCAAAUAUGCUAGAUCAUAAAUCUUAGUCAUAUACAUUCAAGACUUGCUUCAUGAAUUGUCGGUAUUUUUGAAUGAUUUGAUGAUGUGACCAUCAUUAUUUGUUUGACAGAUCUCCAUGAAAUAGCGGUACUAUUGCAAUUAAACACAUACCUUAUUUGUGACCCACCUUUAUGUGGAUUUGAAAGAUAUCAUGCAUUUGCAUAUCCAAACAAUUGUUGUUUUGAUUCUCUUGAGUAAAAUAAACUCAUAUCAAUAGUUCCACAAAGAUAACGUAAUAUAUAUUUGAUACCAUUCCAAUGUCUUCGAGUUGGAGCGAAACUGUAUCUUGCUAAUAAAUUGAUAGAAAAAAACAAUGUCUGGAUGUGUACAAUUGACAAGAUAUAUAAGUACACCAAUAGCACUAAGAUAUGGAACUUCAAGACCAAAUAAUUCUUCAUAUUUUUUCGCAAUAACGAAAUUGGUCAUUUUUCACAUCAAGUGAUCAGAUAACCAUUGGAGAACUUAAAUAAUACACUUUAUCCGUAUAAAAAUGCUUCAACACUUUCUUAAUAUAUGUUGAUUGAUGUACUAAAACUUCAUUUGGAAAAUGUUUGAUAUGCAGAUCAAGACAAAAUUUUGUUUUUCCAAUAUCUUUCAUCUCAAAUUCCUUUUUCAAGUAAUUUGUUGUUCUUGUGAGCUCUUUAGGAGUUCCAACAAGAUUUAAGUCAUCAACAUACACUAUAAUAAUUGCAAUUCCGAUUUCUGAUUUUUUAAUGAAGAUGCAUGAGCAGGAUUAUUCACGUACCCUUUUUUUAGCAAGUAUUCACAAAGGCGAUUGUAUCGCAUGCGUCCAGAUUGCUUUAAUUCAUACAAAGAUUGUUGUAACUUGAUUGAGUACAUACUACGAGGCUUUGUACUAUUUGUUUCAGGUAAUUUAAAUCAUUCAAGGAUUUUCAUGUAUAUAUCAUUAUCCAUGAAUCCAUAUAAAUAUGUUGUAAUAACAUCCAUGAGAAGCAUAUCCAGUUCUUUUGAGACUGUCAAACUAAUUAAGAAAUGAAAUGUGAUUGCAUCCAUGACAGAAGAGUAUGUUUCCUUGUAGUCAAUACCAGGUCUCUGCGAGAAACCUUAUGCUACUAAUCGCUUUUUAUAUCUUAUGAUCUCAUUAUUCUCAUUGCGUUUUCGUACAAAUACCCAUUUGUACCCAACAAACUUUAUAUCUUCAAGUGUUUGGACUAUAGGUUCAAAAACUUCUCGUUCUGUUAAUGAGUUUAAUUUUGUCUGCAUAACUUCUUUCCAUUUUGGCUAAUCAUUUCUAUGUCGGCAUUCUUCCACAUUCCGUGGUUCAGGAUCAUCAUUUCUUAUGAUAUCAGAGGCCACUUGGAAAACAAAAAUAUUGUUAAUAACAAUAUUAUUUCGAUCCCAUUUUUAUUAUGUGUGUACAUAACUUACUGAUAUCUCACAAUUUUCAAGUACAUGUGCCUGUUCAGGGGUUUCCUGUUCAAUAUGUGCCUCUUCAGGGGCUUCUUGUUCAAUAUGUGCCUUUUUAGGAGCUUUAUGCAUUAUUUAUGUCUCUUAUAGGGCUAUAGAUUUAUCAAAUUUAAAUUGAUUAGUCAUUUUGAUGGUCUCUUCCAAAGUGCCAAGUUUUUAUUGUGUUCUCAUCUUCCAGGGAGUUACAUCCUUUGAGUCGACAGGUCUGCCACGCCUCAAGUGUAUCUUAGAUUCAUUUGUUAACUGUUCUAUAGGGACAUCAAUCCGUGCUGAAGUAUUUGCAACUAAGAUAUGUAACUUUGUCAUUUUCUUUGUAUCAAUGAAUGCAUCUGGUAGUUGAUUUGCAAGAUUUUGUAAAUGAAUGAUCCUUUAAACUUCUAGUUCACAUUGACUUGUACGAGGACCAAGAUGGGACAUAGUAGAUGUGUUCCAAGUAAUUUCUUGUCGUUCUUCAAGAAUUGACUUUUCUCCCCCUAAUGACAGAAAAACACCCUCAUUAAAAUAACAAUCUGCAAAGCGGACUGUAAAAACAUCAUCCGUCAAAGGUUUAAGAUAUCUUGUGAUAGAUGAAAAAUCAAAACCUAUAUAAAUCCUAAGUCUUCGUUGGUGACCCAUUUUAGUGCAUUGUGUAGGUGCAAUUAGUACAUAUACUGCACAACAAAAAAUUCGUAAGUGAUAAAUAUUUGGUUGUUUUCCAAGCACAAGUUGUGAAGGGGAGUAUUCAUGGUAAGUUGUAAGUCAAAUACAAACUAAAGCCGCAACAUGCAUAAUAGCAUGUCCCUAGGUAGAAGUAGGUAGUUUGGUUUUCAUUAGUAAUGGUCGAGUUAUUAAUUGGAGACGUUUGAUGAAAGAUUCUGCUAAACCAUUUUGGGUAUGAGUAUGAACAACAUGAUACUCAAUAUUUUUCCCUACUGACAUGCAAUAGUCAAUGAAUGUUUGAGAAGUAAAUUUGUCAACAUUAUCAAAACGUAUUUGCCUUAAUUGGAUGAUCUGAAAAUUGUGCUUGUAAUUUGAUUAUUUGUGCAAAAAGUCUAGCAAAGGCAACGUUACGUGUUGAAAGGAGACAAACAUGUGACCACCUAGUAGAAACAUCUAUUAAGAUCAUAAAAUAAUGGAUUGGUCCACAUGGUAGAUGAAAGACCCAUAUAUGUCCCCAUGUAUUCUUUCUAAAAAAACUGGUGACUCAGAUAUGACUUUAGUAAAAGAUGGUCUAACUAUCAAUUUAAUUUGUGAGCAGGCAACACAUGAGUAUUCAUUAAGCAAAAAAUCUUUUGGUUCUUUAAUGGAUGUCCAUGUGAGUGUUCGAUUAUUCGACGCAUCAUUGAAGACCUUGGGUGACCUAGCCUGUCAUGCCAAAAGACAAAAACUUUUGGGUCGUUGAACUUUUGGUUCACGACAACAUAUGAUUCAAUAGACUUUAUAGUUGUAUGAUACAACCUAGAUGAUAAAGCUGUGAGUUUUUCCAUUAUAAGCUUCUGAACAGAUAUAAUGGAAUAAAUGGAAAUAUAUUCUACAUUAUCUUUAUUCAUAAUUUCAAUAUGAUAUCAAUUUAUGUGGAUAUCUUUAAAACUGAGCAAAUUUAUUUUGGAUUUGCUAGAAUAUAAAGCGUUAUUUAUAUGGAAUCUAAUUUCAUUUGGUAGUGUUAUGUUUGUUCUUCCAAAGCCUUCAACUAAGGUUGUGGUACUAGAUAUGGUACUUACAUUAGCUUUUAUUAAUGUCAAUCGAUGAAAUAUUUUUCAUCUCGAAGAAUUGUGUGCGUGGUUGCACAAUCUGCGAGACAUACAUCAUCCUCGUUCAUCUUGAGACUAAAUAACACAUUGAUUUUAGAUAUAACUAAUAUUAAAAAAAAAACAAGGCAUAAUGUAAAUAACAAAAGGAAAUCAGAUGUAAAUAUGAGACAUAAUACUAUAUUAUUUUAUAUAUAAAGUAACAUUAAUCAAUGUUAAUAUUCUCAUCAUUUAUUAAAUUGUCUGUUUUUUACUAGGAUCUCCAAAUAAAUCAAUAUCAUGGUAGGUUAGGUCUAAUCCAUCAUUAUCGGUAAAGUUCAUCUUUAUUUUUUUUCCUUUUACUUUUAUUGAUGUUUGGUAAAGGUUGACCAAAUGUUUAGGCAUACGAUAGGUAUGCGACCAAUGCCCCUUUAUACCACGUCUAUAACAAUUAUUCUCAUGGUUCUUAGGAGGUUUAUCUUAUUAACACUUCCAAUUUUCUUGUUUUGCUUCAGUAUUAUUCCACUUCUACUGGUGCAAUGAGGCUUUCAUUUUCUGAGAAUUUGAUGAAUUAUUACCAUAAGUGUGAAACCAAGGUUUGGUUAAUCUUGAUUUUGAUGAUAACAAAACAAGGUUUAGAACUAAUGAUCAUAUUUCAAGUGUGAUUAGGCAAGGCGACUUCCAAAGUGGCAAUCCAAAGACAAAUCAAGCCAAGGAGAAAUCAUGAAGAAGAAGACUAUCUCAAAGAAAAGAGUUUUUCAAGACCAAAGCUUCUUAAGAUCUCUUUGUAAGGUUGUUGGUGCACUAAGACUUUCAUGCAUUUCAUUCUUUAUUUAUGCACCAAAAUCAUCCAAGAGUAAUAAUGUUUUAAAUAUCUUUAAAAUUGGAUAAUUUCAUGUUUUCAACUAAAACCUUGUGUUAAAUAAUUUUCAAACUUGUGUUAAAAGGUUUUAAGUUGAAAAACGUUGGGUGUUGAGCCAAAAAAAGGCUCAACCGGUCGAGGAACCGAUCGACCAGUUGUGCUCGUCCGGUCGAGUACCGGUCGAGGUCCGAUUGAGGCUCAACGGUCACCUGCCAAGCAUUUAAUGCUAACAGCUAGUCAACCGGUCGAUCCCUAACUCGACCGGACGAACCCCCAAACGGCUAGUUUGGGUUUUCUCUUUUAUAAAAAGGCUCCAAUCUUCAUUGUUUCAAGAGCUUAACCUUCCCAAAUCAUUCUUGAUUAUAUUUGAGCAUUGGAAGAGUGUUUUUGAGUGUACCAUUAUUUCAUAACUUGCAUAUCUUUAGUGCACCAUUCAAUCCUAGUUUUUCUUGUAUCUUUGAGCCUAAAGUUCUAUUACUAAGAUUUUUGUGAGAUCAUUAUUUGUAUAUCUUUGUGAGGAAUUUUCUCAAGUGAGAGGUAUCACUUGAGAGGUUAUUCAAGAAAGGGAUAUCUCUUGAAGAAGUGUAAAGGGUGCUUGAAGCCAAAAGUCCAAGAGGGUGAAUUGGAACCAUAAUCCAAUUGUAAAGAGAUUGGAAACUUGGUUGAAACUUCAAGAUAGUGGAACCCUCACUCGGUUAGGAGGUUGAGGAGAGUGGACGUAGGUAAGGAAGUGUCGAACCAUUAUAAACUCUCGUGUUUGCUCUCUCUCUUCCCUAACUCUUUUAAAUUAUAUGCAAUUGUGUUUAUUUUGUUUAUUAUAUAUUUGCAUAUAAUUGUCUCUUAUUUUUGCAUAGUUUAAAUUUGUGAAAAAGAGACCAUCACCCUAUUUACCUCUCCCCCUUAUAAGGUGAUUACCAUAGUUUGGAUUAGCCUCAAAUUCCUAACAAUAAGAACCAUGGUAUUAGGGAUUUCUUCCAUGUCCUCAUCUUCGUCCAUGUCUGCGAGUUUUGGACAAUAUUGCAUUAACUCCAAGGAAUGGUUUGGAUAUGGUUGGACGAGACUGGUGAUUUUUCAUCAAAAGCUCAUUAUUUUGUUCAGUAACAAAAAGACGUGAUAUUAAUUCAGAAUAUUUUGUAAAUCUAUGCUCUCGAUAUUGCUACUGCAGGAGCACAUUCAAGGCAUGAAACGUAGUAAAAGUUUUCUCUAACAUGUCUUCUUCUAUGAUUUUUUUUCUCCACAUAACUUUAAUUGAAAGCUGAUUUUGAAAAGUGCAGAGUUAUAUUCACUAACAGUUUUAAAAUUUUGCAAUCUCAAGUGCAUUCAAUCAUAUCAAGCUUUUAGAAGAAUCACAGUUUUCUGGUGGUCAUAUUUUUACUUCAAAUUACUCCAUAGAGUAAAAGGGUACUUCACCGUAAGAUACUCAUUUUUUUAAACCUUCAUGAAGGUGAUGAUGAAGGAAAAUCCGUGUUUUUACGUGAUCCUAUAAGGAUGUUUGAUUGUCUUCUUUGAUUGUAGCUCUAAGAUUCAUUGCAUCAAGAUGUAUUUUAGCAUUAAGGAUCCAAGAUAAAUAAUUCUUUCCCGAAAUGUCAAGUGCCAUAAAUUCGAGUUUUAUGAGAUUCAACAUUGUCAAAUUACUUUAUAUAUAUGACCAAAACAAUAUUAUUAAAACCAGUUAUAAUAAAUUGAUAGCAUUUGUAUAACUUUGAUUAUAAACAAAAGCAAAUAAUUUGUUUAUAACUUUUAACAAUAUAUAACAAAACAAAAUCAACAAUGAUAUAAAUAUGUAAAAUUUUAUUAUAUAUAAACAACUUCAAGUUUAAGAUACGAGAAUUACCUUUAAAGCAAUUUGUACUGGCAACGUGUUGUAAGAUAAGGAUAAAUGUAAUACAAAUAAAGUAGUAGAGAUAAAUUAUAUAUUAUUUUUAUAAUAAUAUAUGUCAGGGAGUAAGAAACCACAAAAGAGAAUUGAGAAAGUUGAGAUAGUGAAAAACAAAAGAGAAUGAGAGAAAGUAAAAAUUUUCUUUCUUAUUUAGGGAAUGCAUAUUACAGGGGAUGUGAAGCCCUUUUUUAGGUUUUGUAAAUGGUUUCCAUUAAUAUUCCUAUUAAUGAAUAUUAAUAGAACUCAUAAAUAAAUGAGUAUUAAUGAAAGUCAUAAAUAAUAUUUAAUUAAUAUUUAUUAUAAUUAAUGUGGUGACAUUCAUUAUUUAGUUAUAAUAGAUAAUAUAAUAUAAAUUGAUUUUUUUCUUUAAAAUUUAAAAAGAAAACAAAUAUUAUUAUAUAGAAUAUUAUAUAUUAUAAAUAUUAUAAAAUCAUUAAAUUGAGUUUGAAUUAAGUUUAAGUUACUUCAACUUUGACCUAAUUCCAACAAAAAAUGAGUUUGGGUUGAAAAAAAUGUAAUUCAAGGCAAAUCCAAAUGUUGAAAAUAAUUAUCAAAUUACACCUCUAUUAUUAUUAUUAUUAUUAUUAUUAUAUUGUUAGCUCUAAGAUUUUUAAACAAAAAGCACAUAUUAAGUUUUGGUGAAAUUAAUGUUUGAGAAAUUCGAGCAUCUUCAUUCACAUCCAAUCAUUUAGGUUUCAAAAGUUUUGAUGGAGUGAAUCAGAAAAAGUUGACAUUGCUUUCCAGAAAGCAAACUUUGAUGUUUUCAUUGUAUUAAUAAAGGGAAAAGAAGGAUUUUACAAGGGAAAAUUCUAGGGUACCUCUUCAGUACCUACCGAAAAGUUUUUAUAAGCCAUCGGAUGUUCAAGAUUACAUCUUGGCCAUUCAUUUUAAAUUUGAAAUAAAAAUUCCACUUAACCAGUUAAGGAAAGAACCGAUUGAGGCCUUCUUUCUUCCUCCCUUCUCAACAAUUUUGGGUUUAAAUAAAAUAAAUAUGAGAUAAAAAUAGAAUUGGAAAAAAAUAAAAAUAAAAAUGAUAUAAAAUUUGAAAACAUAUUUAUUAACAAAAAUCAUCAUAUAUCUUAAUUACAUUAUUUUAUUUUUAACAAACUAUUAAACAUUUAAAUUCAACAUGAAAAUGAAUAUGGUAAUAUUUUAAUAUGAAAUGAGUAUUUUCAUUAAAAUUCAACAUUUUGAUAAUCAUAUGUAAAGCUUAGGUAAUUAGAUUGUCCUAAUUUUUUUCCGUACUCUCCAAAAUUUACAUUUUUUGAAUUUAAGGUUUUUAAAGUUAAAUUACAAUAAAAUAAAUUACUAAUACUCUUUUGAGUUACUAAAAAUCAAUAUGAAAAAUGUGAUGAAAGUACCAAAUAUGUAUUUAUCUCAUUUUUCAUAUUGUUCUCAUAUUUUUCGUACCCUAAAUUAUUUAUAUUUUUAAAAUUUCAUAUUUACUUUUUAACUUGAAAUAAUAAUAACAUAGUUUAAUAUUAUUAUUUUGAGUUAUUAUUGAUAGAAUUGUUAAAAAAAAAUUAAGAAUUAAACAUUUUUUAAAUUGGAAAUAAUGUAAAUUAUCCUAAAAAAAAUUAUAAAAUUAAAACACUAAAAAAUUAUUGAGGAUAUGAAAAAUGUGAGAAAAAGUAUGAAGAUUAUGAGAAAUUCUCACAUUCUUUAUACCUACUUCACAUUCUCCAUAGCCUGAAAUUUAACAAUUUUUCGAUUUUUUUCAAUUUUUUUUCCACUUAAAAAUACAAAUAAUAUUGUUUAUUGAUACUAAUCAAGCUUAGAAAUGAUGAAAAUUAUUUUCAAGAAAAUUAAAAAAUUAAAACACUAAGUAAUUGUAGAAUGUACAAAUAAUAUGAGGAAUGGUACAAAGAAUGUGAGGAAUCCUCAUAUUCUUAGUACUCUUCGUCACAUUCUCUUUACCCUCGAAAAUUUUACAAAUUUUCAAACUUUAAAAUUUUUUUUCCAUAUGGAAAUACAAUAAUAUUAUUUAUUGAUACUAAUUAAGCUUAGAAAUGAUGGAAAUUACUCUUAAAAGAAAUUAAAAAAAUUACUCUUAAAGAAAUUAUGGAAGUUCGUACCCUACAAAGUUCGUACCAUCUCUUACAAAAUUCGUACAAUCUCUUAGAAAGUUUGUACCAUAUCUUAAAAAGUUUGUAUCAUAUCUUACAAAGUUCGUAUCAUCUCUUAAAAAGUUCAUACGCUGUCUUAGAAAGUUCGUAUCAUUUCUUACAAAGUUUCGUACCAUCUCUUACAAAGUUCGUACAUUCUCUUAGAAAGUUCGUACCAUAUCUUACAAAGUUUAUACCCUCUCUUAUAAAGUUUGUACCAUAUCUUAGAAAGUUCGUACCAUGUCUUACAAAGUUCGUACCAUCUCUUAGAAAGUUCGUACCCUAUCUUACAAAGUUCGUACACUCUCUUAGAAAGUUCGUGUCAUUUCUUAGAAAGUUUGUAUCAUGUCUUACAAAGUUCGUACCAUCUCUUACAAAGUUCGUACACUUUAUUAGAAAGUUCGUACACUAUCUUACGAAGUUCGUACCAUCUCUUAGAAAGUUUAUACCAUGUUUUAGAAAAUUCAUACCAUCUCUUAGAAAGUUCGUAUCAUCUCUUAAAAAGUUCGCACAUUCUCUUAGAAAGUUCGUACUCUAUCUUACAAAGUUCAUACCCUUUCUUAGAAAGUCCGUACCUUGUCUUAGAAAGUUUGUACCCUGUCUUAGAAAGUUUGUACCCUGUCUUAGAAAGUUUGUACCCUUUCUUACAAAGUUCGUACCCUUUCUUACAAAGUUCGUACCCUUUCUUACAAAGUUCGUACCAUCUCUUAGAAAGUUCGUGUCAUCUUUUAUAAAGUUCGUACACUCUAUUGGAAAGUUCAUACAUUCUCUUACAAAGUUCGUACCAUCUCUUACAAAGUUCGUACCUUGUCUUAAAAAGUUUGUACCAUGUCUUACAAAGUUUGCACCAUCUCUUAAAAAGGUCGUACACUCUUUUAGAAAGUUCGCACCAUGUCUUACAAAGUUCGUACCAUCUCUUACAAAGUUUGUACCAUCUCUUACAAAGUUCAUAUUAUCUCUUACAAAGUUCAUACCAUCUCUUACAAAGUUCGUACCAUGUCUUACAAAGUUCGUACCAUCUCUUAGAAAGUUCGUAUCAUGUCUUACAAAGUUCGUACCAUCUCUUACAAAGUUCGUACCCCAUCUUACAAAGUUCGUACCAUAUAUUAGAAAGUUCGUACAAUUUCUUAGAAAGCUCGUACAAUCUCUUACAAAAUUUGUAUCAUCUCUUAAAAAGUUUGUACUCUAUUUUACAAAGUUUGUACCAUCUCUUAGAAAGUUCAUACACUUUCUUAAAAAGUCCGUACCCUCUCUUACAAAAUUCGUACUCUCUAUUACAAUGUUCGUACCCUAUUUUAAAAAGUUCGUACUAUCUCUUACAAAAUAUUUAUGACAAUUUCAUAACAAAUGACUAAAUGCUCUCAAUUUGAUUAAUAAUAACUCAUAAAAAAAUUAAAAAAUCUAGAUGUUAUAAAUCAUUACAUAUUUAAAUGUCAUUUAACAUUACAUUUCUACCUACAAUAGUUAUAUGUAAAUGGAAAAAAACUAAAAAUCAAAUGUUACCUUUUAACACUUGUAAUCACUUGACAUCCUUCGUAUAAUGUUUUAUUCAAGACAUAUAAAACUUCAUCUUCAAAUUUAAUAUAUGAAAAAAAAAAUUAUAUAAAAAUAUUAAUAACAAUUUGAUAACAAAAUUUUAUAAUAAACUCAUAAAAAAUUCUAAAAUUGUUAUUUAACAUCACAUUUCUUCCUACAAUAAUUAUAUUUGGAUAAAAAAUAUCAAAUAUUACCUUUGACACUUGUAAUCACUUCAAAUCCUUCAUCUUCUUCGUAUAAUACAAAUUUUAAAAUUUCUCUCUAAAAAAGUUUUAAACUUGAUAUUAAAAUUUGAUUAAUCAAAAUACAUCUUACAUAUUUUGUAAUUUGGUAGUUGCAAUUAUUUAAUUUUCAUAUUAAAUUAUUAUCUUUUUUUUUUUAUAUAUGAAUAAUAAGAGUAUAAGAGUAGUUGGUAGAAUUUUUUUUAGAUAGAGUUAGGUAAUGCAUUAAAUAUAAAUAAUAUUUGAUAUUUAAUAAUAAAUUAUAAAAAAGUUGUAAUAUAUAUAUAUAUGAAAUGUAAGUGACACAAAUAAGUUAUGUUUGAUAAGUUUUUAUAAAUUUUUUAAUGAUAUAUACUUUACACGUGUUAUUUUAUUAUUGAGAUCAAAUGUGGGUGGUUACCGCCCAAAAUGAAGAGUGGUACCAAAGAACAACCCUUUUACAAGACUUGUGUAUUAAUAAUUGACUACAUUUUCACAAUCUUAGCAGAGAAUCAGUGAAAGUCCUCAGCGGGCAUCUAUUCCUGGAAGACCCACUUUCCUCAAAGCCAAAAAGGGAAUGGUUUAUUUGAUUUGUUCACUGGUCAGGUGACAAUCGCGUGCAAACCCAAGCCAUCGUAAUUUUUUAUUUUAUCUAUCCUUUCGGCUGGACCAACCCACGUCCAAUUGUCUAACAAGUAACAACUAAACUCUUAAGGUGGUCCACGCGCUCACAUGCGAUCAAACGUAAUUGUGUUAGUAUAGACGCGCACUGUUUGGUUAGAAUCUCUGUGCGAGACUCACAGUCUGUUAUCCAGAUAUUGCUGUUCCCUGGUCUUCUAUCUACACCUUCGUCUUACCCACUCUCUGUAGGUUUUGGAAAUGGAGAGGUACUUGAAGAAGGACUUUGAUGUACAGUCCAAGCACUCAUCGGAAGCGGCGCUUAGGCGAUGGAGAUCUGCGGUCACAAUCGUCAAGAAUCGCCGGAGACGCUUCCGCGAUGUCGCAAAUCUCCACAUGCGAUCAGAGGCGGAAAAGAAGAAACUCAAAAUCCAGGUUUUAAUUUGUGUGUGUUAUUUUUACUUUUCUAUCUUUUUGGGUCCGUUCGUUUCCUGAGAAACUGAGGAACACAACAACUUGGUGCCUUAUAUCUGAGAUCUAAGGAUUUUAGAGGGGAAAAAUAAACUCAAACCUAAUGUGAAGAGAAGGAAAAAUAUUUGAUUUUGAAUGUUUAAAGAUUUAUCACUGAGGGGGCGACGAUUACAACAUAUAAGUUCGCUGUUUUGUUUUUUUGUUUUUUUUUUAAAAAUUAUUUUUAUUGUAUCGUCUGAAACGAAGAAAACGGAGGAGUAUAGUGCAAAGAUUUGGCGAUUUUUUAACAUCUUAAAUUUAUUUUCUGGCCCUUUUCAUUAGUUUUCUAAACAACCGAACGGGAGUAGGGAAUUCUUAUGAGUCUUAUCUAAAAUAGUAAAAUGCGACGGCUUUGAGAAAAAAUUAUCUGUAAUUUAUUCAAAACUAGGAAACAACGCUCAAGGCUGAGACGAGGCUCCCGUGGGCGCUAUGCUUACGCUGCGGACGUUAGCAAAUAGCAAGGUCCGCUUGGGGCAAUCUUGAAGAUUUUCAAAAAGUGGCUUCCGGAUUCGGACCGGUUGCAAGUUCAGCCAAUCACGUCUCAAGUUUCGCUGCCUAGAGGUCCACCCAUAGGAUGUAAAAAUUCUUAUAAUACAUUUUAAAAAAAAUAAUCUUUUGGAAAAAACAAAAAAAUGUCUAUUUUUAUCUGUCUAAAGACUCUAAACCCUUCUUAAAAGCUUUUUAUUUUUAUUUUUUAUGAAGGCAACAAAGCCUUUAUGGGCAUGAAAAAAUAAUGCGUUCCCAGUAGCAGUAGUAGGAUCCCCACUCACUGUUUCUUGGCCCGCUGCCGACUAUCAACGACAGAACAAGAGUCACGCAGUUUUCUGCUAUCAACGUCUAUAACUCUGGCGAGUUCUCUAGAGGAGCUUGACAGGUAUGAUUAUUAUAUAGUUAGAAUCACCCAGUUUUCUGCUAAAUGUGGGAGAGACUGGAGGGAGAGUUGCGGUAGCCAGGAAGGAUAGGGACAUCGAUUCUUCUUUUGUUUCUGGGGUUCUUUUCUAAAAUUGUAUUGCCUGUCAACGGUGCAGAGAAAAAGAGAGUAAUAAUUAAGAGCGAGAGUAUUUCUCUUUUGACCCGCAGAAGCUGUAAGCUGCCAUCCUCCGGAGUGAUUUAAAAUUUUUGGAUCGAACUUAAAAAGGACGAUUCAGUACACAUGUUUUGACUAAAUCUGAAUAAAACCACAAUCUCUCAUUCAUUUUCCCGAGAUUAAGUCAUCGGAGAAAAUUGAUUCCUAUUUGUCUGCUUCUCUUGCUUUGGCUGUUACCUACGAAUAUACUUGGGGAUUUUUUAAGAGGGUUUGUUUUAUGUUUUAUAUUUUUUUAAAAACUAGAUGCCAAUUUCAAAAGCCGAUUUUUUAUCUUCCAGCCCUGGCAACCAAGGAAACUUCCACGAACCUUCCGAUGGUAUAGUCAAGCAAAGUGAUGAAAAGGUACGUAGGAGGUGGCUUGGCCGGCAAGUUUCCAGGAGUAAACGUUGACAUUUAAUUCCAAACCAAUAAUUCAAUGCAAAAGGCAACUAAGGAAAGUUCCUUGAACCUUCGGCUGUUAUAAUCACAUGAGUUGGACGGACGUAUAAAUAAUAAAUAAGGAAAAUGAGAGCAAUAAAAAACAGGUGUCCGUGGUCCAUAAGCAUUACGAAGCCUUUUCCCUGUCUAUUUGCUGUGAAAAGGUUAUUGUCACUUCGUAUCCUCCCACACACCAAUUUGUAUUUUAUUGAUCAUCUAUUCCUUAGCUUCCAAUCUGCUGCUGUCCUACUCUCAGCAUUUUGAGACACCAAUUGUACAGAUUAGAGACAAGAGAUUGCCCAGUCAAUUAUAUUAUGAUCUUGUUGUUUUAAUUCCCAAAGGUUUCAUGUCGAUAUUUUCAGCAUUAAAGAGGAGGGGAAAAAAGGAGGGAAAAAAAAUAGAGCAUUUUGUGCGACGGAUGAAUUAAAUUUACUAAGAUUAGCUCUAUCUAAUGAAUGUAGCAUGCCAUGUAAUUUAAUUUAAUUAUGGAGCACUGUGAGACAUGGUGUCUUACUCCCUUCUCUUCAUCCAAUCGUCGCAGGAGGACCUAAUUAAAUUUUCAGGUGGAUUUAUUUGAAAAUUAUGCCCUCCUAUAUUCCCUUUGACUGAUGUUACCUGGAAAAAAAGAGGCCAAUGAAGUAUAUGGGCAAGUCUCUAUGCAUUAAAUAAAUUACCUAUAUCCCUCACUCUUUGUAGUGAGAAUAAUGUAAUGGAAACUCGGUCUUUUUGUCCUACAUGCUGAUUUCCUUCAUAGAGGGAGAGUGAAAUUGUGCCAGUUUUGUCCACCCGCGUCUUUUUGGCUUCAACUCUAAUGGUCCUGCCCCAUGCUAGAACAAAUAAUUAUAAAGAUAUGUGUGUGAAUAGGUUUUUUUGGUAAUUUAUGUUUUGCAUAAAUUGUUGUACUAAUGUGACCACUACCAUUAUGUGCAGCAUGUUGCAAAUGCUAUAAUGCCAAAAAGUUUCUUAGAGGUUAAAUUAUGGUGUUUCAAAUUUUAUUCACCCAUUUUAUAUUAUGUCACUUCUCCACACGAAAUUUUUAGCUAUAGUGUGCAUGCACAUUCAUUAGUUUAAAAUGAAAUGUACAUUCUAUUUUGUUUUCUUGCUUAGGUAAUCAUAUGCAGCAAAUGUGUUCACCGUAUACAUAUUUUCAUUUUGCUGAGACUUUGUGCGGAGGUGUUUGUAGUGUUGGGACUUGGGAGGUCUUUCUCAUCCUUUAGUUUGUACUUGCUAUUUUAUUAUGGUGAAAUGGUUGUUUCUUAUAAUGAAAAAAAAAGGCACAUUCAUAAAAUAAAGAUAAAGUUAUAACAAUAAUGCCUAGUACAAAAAUUGACAAGUUUUAGCAAUGAUGCACAUCAUGUGAUUGUCAAUAAGCAAUAAUGUACAAUCACGAAGUAAUGACCGUAUGGUGAAAUUUUCAAAUGGUUAUGCUAUUUCAAAUAACCCCACUCUUAGCUACACUAGAUGGUUCAACUUCUUUAAAAUUGUGUUUGCAUGUGCUAUAAAUUACAUGGUGUGAAGUCAUGCAAUGAUGUUUGUCAUUCCCAAUUUCUUUGCUAGGGACAAGGCAUUUGUGGGCUUUCACAUUGGUGUAUCACAGGUUUUUUUAAAAGCAAAAUUAUUCUUGUAGCUAUUAUUCUCUCUUCUCAUUUCUUAUUCCCAUCCUCCACGACAGAGAGAAUCCCACUGCUUGGGCACAAUUUCUUUGCUAAGAACCAUGCGCUUACAGGCUUUCACAUUGGUGUAUUACAAGCUCAUUUAAAGAGCAAAUUCUUCUCAUUUCUUACCUCCACCCCCCAACAACAGAGAAACACUCUCCCACUGCUUUGACACAACUUCUUUGUUGUCUAGGGGCAUCUUAAAGUUAAUCCUAGCAUACAGAGAAUCGGUUCACAAAUUAAAUCAUUAUGAAUAAUUGUACCUGUGAAAAGAAAGAAAAGGGAGAAUCCCUAAUUUUUGUUAUUGAAAAACUAUUAAUAAUACACAUUGGACUUAGGUAUAUAUAUAUACAUGUUAGUAGGACCCCCAAUACAAUAAGGAAAGAAAAGGAAAAGGAAAAGUUAAUAACCUAAAUAACUGUACACUAUCUAACACUCCCCCUCAAGCUGGAGCAUAUAUGUUAUAUGCACCAAGCUUGUUACAAAUGUAUUUAAUUUUAGGACCUUUGAGAGAUUUAGUAAAAAUAUCUGCUAGUUGAUCAUUUGAAUUGACAAAACUAGUCGCCACACAUCCUGAUGCGAUCUUCUCUCUAAUGAAAUGACAGUCAAUUUCAAUGUGUUUGGUCCUUUCAUGGAAGACUGGAUUUGAUGCAAUAUGCAAAGUGGCUUGGUUGUCACAGAUGAGCUUCAUCUGUUUUUCCUUUCCAAAUCUCAACUCCCGAAGAAGAUGUUUCAGCCAUAUGAGUUCACAUGUUGCUAGAGCCAUAGCUCGAUACUCGGCUUCAGCACUAGAUCUGGCCACUACAUCUUGUUUCUUACUCUUCCAAGAUAUUAGGUUACCUCCAAUAAAAACACAAUACCCGGAAGUGGAACGUCUAUCUGUGAGUGAGCCAGCCCAAUCUGUAUCUGUGUAACCAACAACCUGGGAAUAACCUUUGUUCUCGUACAACACACCUUGGCCUGGUGUGUUUUUGAUAUAUCGAAGAAUACGGAUUACAGCAUCCUAAUGGCUAUCACAUGGUGAUUGUAGGAAUUGACUAACAACACUUACAGGAAAAAAAAUGUCUGGACGAGUAAUGGUGAGGUAGUUUAGUUUACCUACAAAUUACCAAUAUCUCCCAGGAUCUCCUAAAGGCUCCCCCUGUCCUGGUAUAAGUUUGACAUUUGGAUCCAUAGGAGUGUCUACCGGUUUACAGUCUAACAUACCGGUUUCUUCGAAGAUGUCUAAAACAUACUUUCUUUGGGAAAGAACCACACCGGAACUGGAUUAAGCUAUCUCAAUCCCUAAGAAAUACUUGAGUUUCCCCAAGUCUUUAGUCUGAAAGUGGGUGAAAAGGUGUUGCUUUAGUUUCUGAAUAUCAUUCUGAUCACUGCCUGUAAUGACGAGGUCGUCCACAUAAACUACCAGAUAAAUACACUGCCCCGAAAAGUUAUGAUGAUAAAAAACGGAAUGGUCUGUUGUACUGUGAAACAUGCCAAACUCCUGAACAACAGAACUAAAACGGCUAAACCAUUCUCGAGGAGAUUGUUUCAAGCCAUAUAGAGAACGGCGUAACCUGCACACUAAACCAGACUCCCCCUGAGCAACAAAAUCAGGUGGUUGCUCCAUAUAAACUUCCUCAGCAAGAUCCCCAUGAAGGAAAGCAUUUUUAAUAUCUAACUGAUAAAGAGGCUAAGAACGCAUAGCAGCCAUUGAGAGCAAUAGACGAACAAAAGCUAUCUUAGCAACAGGAGAGAAAGUGUCACCAUAAUUAGAACCAUAAACCUGAGUAUAGCCUUUAGCAACUAAGCGGGCCUUAAAGCGAUCAACCUAACCAUCAGGGCAAACCUUAACUAUGUAGACCCAACGACAACCAAUUGUAGAUUUACCAGAGGGUAAAACAAUAAGAUCCCAAGUGCCAUUGGAGUGUAAAUCAACCAUUUCAUCUACCAUUGCCUGUCGCCAGCCUGGAUGGGAAAGAGCCUCAGGGGUGCUCUUGGGAAGAGAAACAGAAGAUAUAGCAGAAACAAAUGCAGAAUAGGGUGAAGAUAAUCGAUGGUAACUCAAAAAAUUGUAAAUGGGAUGAGGAUUACAAGUAGAUCGAUUACCUUUCCGAAGAGCAAUGGGUCAGUAAGCAGAAGGAGGCAGAGCCGGGGCAGGAGAAGCCGAAGGGAUAGGAAGUGAGUUAGCAGGUACCUCGGCCAAAGAAGGAGGAACAGCGACACGAUGACGGCGAUGAUAAACCUAAAGUGGGCGAGAAGGCACUGCAUUAAGUGGGGAGAUAAUGGGAAGGGUAAGACUUCAGAAACAGGAAGAGAUUCAGAGGUGGAGAAGAACAGUGAGUCCUCAAAGAAAGUGACAUCAGCAGAGAGAAAGUAGCGAUGAGUCUCAGAGGAAUAACAACGAUAACCCUUUUGAAGUCUGGGAUAUCCCAAGAAGAUGCAUUUUGUGGCUUUGGCAUAAAGUUUGUCCUGUCCAGGAGUGAGAAUAUGAACAAAGCAAGUACAACCAAAAACACGAGGAGGAAGGAAAUAAAGUGGUUGGUCAGGGAAAAGAAGGGAAUGAGGAAUCUAAUUGUGUAAUACAGAUGAGGGCAUACGAUUAAUCAAAUAACAUGUUGUAAGAACUGUGUCCCCCCAAAAACGAAAAGAAACAUUACUAUGGAGAAGGAGAGCACGAACUGUCUCAACAAGAUGUCGAUUCUUACGUUCAGCUACCCCAUUUUGUUGAGGAGUAUGAACACAAGAAGAUUGAUGAAUGAUCCCAUGUUGGGACAUAAAUGAAGUAAAUGGUGCAAAAAAAUAUUCCCUGGCAUUGUCAUUGCGCAACACACGAAUAGAAAUAUUGAACUAGGUUUGGAUUUCAGCAUAAAAUUUCUGGAAAAUAGAGAAUAACUCAGCUCGAUUUUUCAUUAAAAAUAACCAAGUAUAUCGAGAAUAGUCAUCAAUGAAAGUGAUAAAAUACUGAAAUCCUAAGUUAGAUGCGGUCCGACAAGGACCCCAAACAUCAGUGUGGACAAGUUCAAAAGGAGACUUUGCCCGAUUAUUCAAACGCUUUAGGAACGAGACACGAGUAUGUUUCCCAAGCUGACAGGACUCACACGCAAGCGACGACAAAGAUGAAAAACGAGGGACCAUUUUUUGGAACUUGGAUAGACUAGGGUGGCCUAAGCGAUUGUGGAUGAGGAGGGGAGCAUUAGUGGAAAUGCAAACUGCAGGAGUUGAAGGCGAGGUGAGGUGAUAGAGGCCUUGAGACUCACGUCCUAUGCCAAUCGUCUUCCCCGUACUCCGGUCCUGCAAGGUCACAAAUUUAUCAGAGAAAGUGAUAGAACAGUUAAGAGUGCGAGUUAUUUUGUUGAUGGAAAUAAGAUUAAAAGGACACUCAGGGGCAUAAAGGACAGAAUGGAGAGGUAGGGAAGGGAGAGGAUGAGCGAAACCAAAACCUUUAGCCAUAGUUUGGGAACCAUUAUGUCACAGGAUGCUUCAAAUGACCCUCCCCAUGGGCUUAUAUAGGAGGAGGGAAGCUUCUAGAGACUCCUGGAGCCAUCUACACUAAGCCAUUGGUGGGAAGAGUGUGGAAGGUUCUAGAAAUGCCUAGAGAUGUCCACACAUCUCUACACUAUGGAGGAAGGCAUGAGAGGAGUCCAAGGCUUUCUAGAGACUUCUAAGAAUCUCUUGUAUAUUCUUGUACAUAGGGUUGUACAUAGAAUAGGGUAGGAUGUUUUAGAAUAUUCUUGAUUUGUAAGGAACCCUCCAAGGUUCCAGAGAGUUCCUUUGGUGCCUAUAAAUAGGUGAGGGCCUUAUUUGGCCAAGGCACCACCUAAAUCACUUCCUAACCAAGCAAGUGAGCUUCCAAGCACUUGUAAAAGCUUCUUUGAGUAAUAAAGAGCUUCCAUUCUUUAAGGAGUUGCCUACCAAGCUUCUUAAGCUUUUGAGUCGCGAGUGUUUUAGCCGAGCGAGCUAAGUAUUGGGAGCAAGGCUGACUUAGCAAGAUCGAGCGUCUUGGCUUGUCUAAGUGCCGCAUGAGCUUAGUGAACGACUAAGUCCGUGACAAUUAGCUAAAGUAAUAGUAGGUAAGGCAGAGGUAGUAGUAAUAGAAGAGAAGAGAUCCUUAUUACCAGAUAUGUGAUCAGAAGCGUCAGAAUCUAGAAUCCAAGGUCCAAGAGAAGAUGUGUGGGUAAGAUAGGCAGAAGCAUUACCAGUCUGGGCAACAAAAGCAACAGAAGCUGACUUGGUGGUCUGAUAGCAGAGAUAGUCAUCAUACUCACUGUCAGUGAGGGAAAUACCCUGAGAUGUGGAGGAACUGGGAGGCUAAGGCGACUGAGGAUCAGAUGACUGGGCCACGUGGGCAGUGUGGGAAGGCCGCCCAUGUAACUGAUAACACCGAUCACGAGUAUGGCCAAACUUAUUGCAAUAGGUGCAAUGAGGACGUUGACCUCUACCUCGGUUACCACUGCGUCCUCCUCGAGAGUUAGUUUGAGAAACUAACACAGAAGAAUCUGAAGUGUUAUCAGAUGGCAAAGUCUGAGUGGAGGAGAUACGGAGGAGGCGAGCAAACACAUCAUCCAAGGAUGGAACGGAGGAACUACCAAUAAUCUGAUCGCUGAUGGUCUCGAGAUUUGGACGGAAGCUAAUAAGCAUAAGAACCAUGAAGAACUUGUCAAUCUGUGUUCGUUGAUCCCCAACAUCAGUAGUAAGAGGCAUCACGAUCAAGAAUUCCUCCUUAAAAGAGGCAAUCUGGCCAAUAUAAGUAGAUAAAUCCAUGUCUUGUUGUCUGACAUUGACAAUAGAAGAAGCCACCUUAUAAAGACGUUGGAUAUCAUUCGUGUAUAGCCCUUUCACCUGAUUCCAAAAUUUAAAGCAUGUUUUGUAGGCCCAAAGAUGAAGCAGAAUCUUAGGAUCAACUGAUUGCCAUAACACACUACAUAACUGUGCAUCUAUCUUCCUCCAUUGUACUCUGUCAAUCUCAGGGAUAUCCGCCUCUUGUGUAACAAGAUGAUCCUCAUAACCUUGACCCAUAAACCAAAGCUCCACAGAGGUAGAUCAGGACAAAUAAUUUUCACUGCCAACCAAUUUCUCCGAAGUAAUCAUAGGAGAUCCAGAUAUGACAGAGGAAAAAGUGGAACUUUUAGUAGCCAUAUCUACUUAUCUGGAGAAUGAAAUAUGUUUGGAUCGAAGAGAGCCCUAAUGCGGCUUCAGAUCACGGUUGAAAGAAGAAAAACCGAGGAUCCGCGGCUGUGAGAAACCAAAUAGUAAAGAAAAACAAAUGUGGCACUACUGGAAGGGUAGAAGAACACUUCCUAAGACACGUGCAGGGCUCAGGGUGGAGAGGAAGUCACCGGAGGUCGUCGAAAAGGCUGAUUAGAGGGCCGACGGAAACAAAAACCUCCCAAAAAAUGCACUUUCAGGGCUCAUAUGGCACAAACACAGAUGGAGGGUGGCUAGACGGUGUCAAGCGAGGCUAGAGGUGGAAGAGCGUGGCUGGAAAGUGCUCCACGCGCCCUCACGCGCCGGCGCGUGAGGUUCAGGCCGCCAGAGAAGAAACGCGCGUGGCCGGCGCGUGGCUGAGAAUCUCCCUCUGGUGCUUUGAGAAAACUUGAAGAUCUCCUCCUUGCGCUCCUAAUGGUAUGGUCGGUGUCGGAAAAGGACUUCGCCGGAAAAAGGUCGCCGGAAAAGUCGUCGGCGGUGAGGGUUUUCUGACGGCGAUAUGGUUGAUCGGAAAGCUUUAGGAGAUGGGAAAGGUGACCGGAAUGAAACACGGUCAUUGAAAGAUUUCCCAGUGGAUUCACGGAUAAACCGGAAAUAAUUAGGGUUUUUUUUCUCCCUAGGUUCUGAUACCAUGUGAAAAGAGAGAAAAGGGAGAAUCCCUAAUUUUUGUUAUUGAAAAACUGUUAAUAAUACACAUUGGGCUUGGGUAUAUAUAUAUAUACAUGUUAGUGGGACCCACAAUACAAUAAGAAAGGAAAAGGAAAAGGAAAAGUAAAUAACCUAAAUAACUGUACACUAUCUAACAGUACCCAACUCAGGGCCAAAUGUACUCAUAAUAAAGAUCAUCAGUUGCUUGGUCUGCAAAAUUGAUUCUAGACAAUUUACAAGCUUUGAAACCAUAGUGAACCAUGCAUCAAGUGCUUACUUAAAUUUUUACUUGUGAAUAAAACAUCUGCCGAAAAUAAAUCAAUAAAUAAACUGAAGCGCUUUUAUUGCUGUUUGAAAUAUUGUGCAUGGUUUGAAUCAUAAUAUCAAUGAUGUUUCAGGACAUUAAACCUAUUUUGACAAGCCUAGCUUCUGUGUUUGGAAAUAAUGAUUCAUUUUCUUUGAGGCAUGGAACCAAUCUCUUCCUGCAAUUUUUUGUUCUAUUAUCCUAAUCAUUGGGGACAGAAUGCUUUCUGAAUUCUCAUCAAUAUAUUUUUGAGGAUAGUUUUAGCCUCACACUAUAGAUAUCCCUGGAAAUCAGAAUGCAGUACAGUUUGACAUAGUUCAGAACAAUUUAUUUAAUAGCUUCAUGGAAAUGGAGUGACUGUUUAGUAUUUGUUUAUCUGCUUUGAUUGCAUGAGAUGGUAGAUAUAACAACAUAGGUCAAUGAUUGCAUAUUGUUUGCAAAGUCACCAAUUCCUACUGCAGUGACUAAUCAUUUUUUAACUUUGCGUACCCUAUUAUACUACUUUAUUUUAACAGGAAAAAAUUCGAGUUGCUCUUUAUGUUCAAAAGGCGGCACUGCAGUUUAUUGAUGGUAUGAGCUUCCUGUGAUUUGGUUCACUGAAAUCAUAUUUCUUGUCAAUUUCUUCUGUUUCCUGUCUCAGAUAAGUUUGUGUUUUGCAGCUGGUGGUCGAGUUGACCACGGGCUCUCAGAAGAGGCAAGGGAAGCAGGCUUUGGUAUUGACCCAGAUGAACUUGCCUCCAUAGUUCGUGGCCAUGAUAUCAUGGGCUUGAAAGCCCAUGGUGGACUCGAAGGACUUGCAAGGAAAGUUCAUGUUUCACUUGAUGAAGGUGUGAAAUCAAGUGACAUAGCUAUGAGGCAAAAUAUCUAUGGCCUCAACCGUUACACUGAGAAACCUUCAAGAACUUUUCUAAUGUUUGUGUGGGAUGCACUGCAUGACUUAACACUAAUCAUCCUUAUGAUUUGUGCUGUGAUUUCUAUAGGAGUAGGCCUUCCCACUGAAGGAUGGCCAGAGGGUAUGUAUAGUGGGGUAGGAAUCCUAGUUAGUAUAUUUUUGGUAGUCCUGGUUACUGCAAUCAGUGACUAUAGACAAUCUCUGCAAUUCAGGGAUCUGGAUAAGGAAAAGAAAAAGAUUUUUGUCCAGGUCACUAGAGAUGGAUAUAGACAAAAAAUUUCUAUUUAUGACUUGGUUGUUGGAGAUAUUGUUCAUUUAUCUAUAGGAGACCAAGUUCCUGCUGAUGGGGUUUUUAUAUCAGGAUACAGCUUGUUGAUUGAUGAGUCAGGCAUGUCUGGGGAGAGUGAACCAGUCCACAUAUCCGAAGAAAAACCGUUUUUUCUUUCAGGAACUAAAGUGACAGAUGGUUCAGGGAAGAUGCUGGUGACUACGGUUGGUAUGAGGACUGAAUGGGGAAAGUUAAUGGAAACUCUGACUGAGGGUGGGGAUGAUGAGACCCCGCUUCAGGUGAAGCUGAAUGGUGUUGCUACAAUUAUUGGUAAGAUUGGUUUGGCUUUUGCUGUGCUGACUUUUGUGGUCUUGGUUGUAAGGUUUCUCGUGGAAAAAGCACUUCGCAAAGAGUUCACAGAUUGGUCUUCAAGUGAUGCACUGACACUUCUGAACUAUUUUGCUAUUGCGGUAACUAUAAUUGUUGUUGCUGUUCCAGAAGGAUUACCAUUGGCAGUGACUUUGAGCCUUGCCUUUGCAAUGAAAAAAUUAAUGAAGGAGAAGGCACUUGUGAGACAUCUAUCUGCAUGUGAGACAAUGGGUUCUGCUAGUUGUAUUUGCACAGAUAAGACAGGAACAUUAACUACAAAUCACAUGGUAGUUCAUAAGAUAUGGAUCUGUGGAAAAGCUGAAGAGAUAAAAGGUAGUGAGAGUGCAGAUGUAUUGAAAUCAGAAAUAUCUGGAAGAGUUUCAAGCAUCCUUUUGCAGGCUAUAUUUCAAAAUACCAGUUCUGAGGUGGUCAAGGACAAAGAUGGAAAGAAUACCAUCUUAGGAACACCAACUGAGUCAGCAUUGCUAGAGUUUGGUUUGCUUUUAGGUGGUAAUUUUGAUGCACAACGCAAAGAAAAUAAGAUAGUUGAAGUUGAGCCUUUCAAUUCUGUCAAGAAGAAGAUGUCUGUGCUUGUGGCUCUUCCUGAUGGCAGAAUCCGAGCUUUUUGUAAAGGUGCAUCUGAGAUAAUCUUAUCCAUGUGCAACAAGAUUGUUAAUUAUGAUGGAGAAUCUAUUCCUCUCUCGGAAGUACAGGAAAGGAAUAUUACUGAUAUUAUAAAUGGUUUUGCAUCUGAAGCCUUGAGAACCCUCUGCUUGGCUUUCAAAGAUGUGGAUGAUCCUUCCAAUGAAAACGACAUCCCAACUUAUGGCUAUACGUUGAUAAUGGUUGUUGGGAUUAAGGAUCCAACACGUCCUGGGGUCAAAGAUGCUGUUCAAACUUGUUUAGCAGCUGGAAUUGCUGUCCGGAUGGUCACUGGUGACAAUAUAAACACAGCCAAAGCUAUAGCUAAAGAAUGUGGCAUACUAACAGAGGAUGGUUUGGCCAUAGAAGGACCUGAAUUUCACAGCAUGAGUCUUGAGGAGAUGAGGGAAAUAAUACCAAGAAUUCAGGUUUGCGAUUAAUUAAUUAAAAAAAAUUUAAGCUUCAAACAUGUGUUUGAGAGAUGCAUUAACUGACAAAAAUUGCUCGGUAUGGACACAGGUCAUGGCUCGGUCUUUGCCUUCAGACAAGCACACUUUGGUAACCCAUCUCAGGAAAUUGUAUGGUGAGGUUGUUGCAGUGACAGGUGAUGGGACAAAUGAUGCACCAGCUUUGCAUGAGGCUGACAUUGGGCUUGCCAUGGGCAUAGCUGGAACAGAGGUUUGCUUAUCCGACCAUCUUAUGUACUAGUCAUCUGUUUUUACUGCCCUUAUCUGUUGUCUUUCUUCUUGGUUGCACAGUUAUUUUUUAGUUUUUUGAUAAGUUUCUUGGUCGCACAGUUAUGAAUGUUUCUUCAUUCUAUUCAUCAACUUACAUUUGCUUGACUUUGGAAAUCAUCUUCCAAUACCAUGAAAAUCUUCUUCCUACUCUAUAAUAUUUUAUAUGCAAUAGGGUGAUAUUAAAAUAGAAGUUUCGUAUGGUCAUUAAUAACUCAUUUUUCUAACAGUUAUUUAUUGAUAGGCGAAUCUUUCUCUACUAAUUAAUAAAAGAAAAAUGAAUCUAAUAUGCAACAUGCAUGAAUCUUAUUAACUUCUUAAUAAGGAGUUUUUAGGUUUUGGUUUGAGGUAGUCUUUCUUCAAUUUAUCUCACUUCCCAAGAUCCUCUACCAGUUAGGAUCUGAUUCAUCUAAUUGAUUUUCAUCACACCCCUGUGAGUCAGAAUAAAAUUCAUCCAAAUUAUCUAUACAUUGUUCUUUUUCUUUUUCUUCAUUUUUUCCCUUUUUUUUAUUGAUAAGAAUUUUCAGCUAUGUAAUUUUAUGUGAUUAAUGACUUUAUGCUGUGUAAUGUUCCACUUCUAAGCCUUUUUUUAUGCUAAUACCGUAUGUGGAAAGAAAGGCCAUGAAAAACUGGACCAUGUACCUUUCCAACCUUUGCCCCACUCAGUCAUCUUGCAAGCCCCCACCUCAAUAGGUAGUGUGCCUCUUUUCUCAUUAAAAGCACACUUUGACUAGGCUUCCUAUUUAUUGUAUGUCAUUAUUAGUGACUCCAAGAAGGGUUAGUUUAAAACCUAAGAAAAUCCAUAGAGAUUUCCUAUGGGGUGGUGGAACUUUAGAGAAAAAACUUCAUCUGGUCAGUUGGUCUAGAGUGGAUACUAAAAAAGCGGGUUGGCCAUUGAGAAUCUCUCUGCUCUCACUACUAUGUUGUAGGGCAAGAUGAGUGGGAGAUUUGUCUCAAAAAAUGAGUCAAUGUGGAAGCAAGUGAUAGUUGGGAAGUUUGGGGAGGAAAGGAGGUUGGAGUUUGUGGGUGCUUAGGGAGGGUUAUGGUGUUGGUUUUUGGAAGGAUAUCAAGAAAAAGUGGAAGGUCUUUAAAAGCAAAGUUUUCUUCAUUGUUGGGAAUGGAAGAACCAAGUUUUGGUUGGACAAUUGGUGUCUCGCCAUUUCUAAAAGACUAUUUUCUCACCUUAUUUUCCAUUAGCAACUCAAAGGACUCAUCGGUUGUAGGUAUGUGGGAGCAAGAUGAGGAGGUGGGUCAUUGGAGUCCCUGUUUCUCAUGACACUUCCAUGAUUAGGAGUUAGAGGUGGUGGAGGCCUUCCUUCAAAAAAUUCAAAAGCUUUUAGUAAGGUGGGAUGUAGGAGAUAGAUUGGCCUAGUCAGUUUCAAGGAAUGGAAAGUUCUCAGUUGAAGUUUUCUACUCAUUUCUGGUGCCAAGGGGUUCAAAGGCUUUCCCAUCUGGGGUUAUUAUUUGGAAUUCAUGGAUCUCGAUGAGAGUUGGUUCUUUUUGCAUAGGAAGCAACAUGGGGAAGGAUUUUGACAUUGGACCAUUUGGAAAGAAGAGGGGGGUCUUUAGUAAAUAGAAGCUAUGUGUAAAUGAGAGGAGGAAUCCAUUGAUCACUUGCUUCUCCAUUGUGUUACAGCUGGAAUUUUGUGGCAGUUGGUUUUUUCUCUAUUCGGGUUGCAGUGAGUGAUGCAUUCUUCAAUUUAUCGGAUGUUGUUAAGUUGGAACUUGGAAUGGGUUUUAGAUACGAAAAAGGAGGAAGAGAGCUCAGUUGGCUGCCCUGCUGUGUAUUUUCUGGACCAUUUGGCGGGAAAGAAAUCAGAAUGCAUUUGAAAAUGUGGAAGUAUCAGAACAAUCACUAAAAUCCUCUUUUUUGCAUAACUUUGUGGAACGUGUUAUGCUUCAUACCAAAGGAAAUACUGUCUAUGGUCAAUUUUGUUGAUUGGUUAAGAAACAAGUAGAUGUGGGCUGGUUUUUUGUCCUUUGAUUUGCCUUCUUUCAUUGUCCUGUUCGGGUGGCGCCCUCAGUAUGCUAUUUGUCUACUUUGGCAUGCCCUAGCACUUUCAUUUUGUAUUAUCUUUAUGUUUCUAUUAGUACUAUUUUCUGUGUGCUUAUAAAAAAAUGGUUCUUUUUGUUUUUUUCAAAUUUGUUGCAUGUUCCGUACCCUUCUGUUUGCUCUACCUGAGAAAUUUGUUACCUGCUAUUAAGAGCAAGUUUUUAUGCAAGAAUGGCUAGUAUCAUAUUCAAAUAAUUAAACAAAAACAAAAUGUAUUUACUGAUUAUCAGCAGAAUCUUGCUAAAAGAGUGCCAACUCGUCACUCAUUCAGUGUUGAAAAGCAUGGUCUUGGAAGUAAAAGCUAUAAAUUUUUGUUAGUUGGGGCUAACAGAAGAGCACCGUUCUACUUUUCCGAAAAUUGAAACUUAAUGUAGUCUUUUAGCUUUCCAGCAUAUGAAUGGUAUCAUUUGGGGUGUAGGUCUAUUACACCUUUGGACUUGUAGGAUGCAACCUGUCCUGCUACUUAUUCCAGUGCUAUUCCUGCUUUUGCAUUAUUCUUGAACUUACCCAUAUAUACAUGGUAUGUUAUCUAUAGGUUGCCAAAGAAAAUGCUGAUGUCAUCAUAAUGGACGAUAAUUUUGCCACUAUAGUAAAUGUAGCCAAAUGGGGCCGUGCAGUAUAUAUAAACAUUCAAAAGUUUGUGCAGUUCCAGUUGACCGUUAAUGUGGUUGCGCUUGUAGUAAAUUUUGUUUCUGCGUGCAUCACAGGUGCGUUGGCCCAUGGAGCUAGUCUUUUCAUUUCAUGUAGUGCUCUUAUUUGUACUUUUGCAUAAUAUGCCAAUCAACAACAGCAGCAAUAAUGAUAAUAAUAAUAAUGAUAAGGAUCUUUGAAACAACAUUCAGGAUCUGCCCCCUUUACGGCUGUCCAGUUGCUUUGGGUCAACUUGAUUAUGGACACUCUCGGUGCAUUGGCAUUGGCGACAGAACCUCCAAACGAUGCACUAAUGAAAAGGCCUCCUGUUGGGAGGAGUGUGAGUUUUAUCACCAAGACCAUGUGGAGGAAUAUUAUCGGUCAGAGUAUAUAUCAACUGAUCGUCAUCGGAGUCAUCAGUGUUUAUGGGAAGCGGCUUUUAAGACUUAGUGGUUCAGAUGCGAGUGAUAUCAUUGAUACUUUCAUAUUCAACACCUUUGUGUUCUGCCAGGUAUCAUUUAUUAUGUAUGGUUAUUGUUGAUUUGUCUCAUCCUUGUUUCUGAAUUCUGAUAUACCUUGUCAGCAUUUCAUGUCUUUAAACUCUACCAACAUAAUUGGUGUUUCUUCUUUGAUCCACUCUGCAGCUGUUCAAUGAAAUAAACAGCCGUGAUAUUGAGAAGAUAAACAUUUUUCGUGGUAUGUUUGACAGCUGGAUAUUUAUCAUAGUCAUGGUCUGCACAGUGGCAUUCCAAAUAAUUAUAGUUGAGCUCCUGGGCACCUUUGCAAGCACUGUGCCCCAAAGUUGGCAACUAUGGAUAUUGAGCAUCUUGAUCGGAGCGGUAGGCAUGCCUGUUGCAGUUGUUUUAAAAUGCAUCCCAGUUGAAACAGGCAGUUUUAAGCAGCAUGAUGAUUACGAGGCACUACCUAGUGGACCAGAACAGGCAUGAGGAGAAAGAUUUCUAAUGCCGUGAUUCUGAGCUCUGGUAAGAAAUAGUGAAGGUGAAUUGGGUAGAGUGGUUAGGCGUGCUUCACAUGUAUUUGAGGGAAAGCAAAACAAAGGUGAAUACAUCACGCCAUGCCUUUCUUCUUUGUUUUGUUUUCCCUCAAAAACAUGUAAAAUAAGCACUAUACUUAUUUCACCUCCGCCACCUUCUCUCCAGAGCUCAGAAACAGGAACUAGAAAAAUCAACCCAACCCUACAUCACACAAUAUUGGUCUUUUCUUACUUCCCUUUGUUUUCUCUCAAAUAUAUGUGAAACAGGUCAAUUAAAAUUCUAUCCCAACACCCAUUGAAGUAGUUCUAUCUCUUGAUGUUCAAAAUGCUAUUGUAAGUUCCUAACAAACUAGAGCUUCCGGUUCAUUUGGAUUGCAGUUGUUCCGCUGUUCCUUGUUGCCUGCCACUGCAGGAAGCAAUUUUGUUCAAGCAUUUGAGGAUUUUCAGUAUAAUAAAAUUUUGUUGUGACUUAACAUUUAACAAUAGUAUGUUAUUAUCAAUUUUGAAAUCGCCAUUUGAAGGUUGGAGUAUGAAUGUCAUGCUUUCCGGUCAAAAAUAUGUGAAUGCGAUUCUAAACUGUCAGAUACUUAUCCCAGUGGUUUUUACUUUUUAUUCCAUCUUCUGAUUUGCCUAUAGGCUAUAGGCUGAUAUGUGAUGCACUGACCUGACCAGUUGAUGGAGAAAAAUUACACAUUACAAACGAUUUUAAAUGUCAUUUUCAUUCUCCAUUACUACCUAUCGGGAGUUUAGAACACUAAUAUAAAGUGUAUGUAAUUUGUUGUUAGAAAAAAUCCCAAAACAAAUACAUAAAUCCGAGAGAAAGAAGAUUACAAUUAGGUUUUUCCCUGAAAAUUGAAACAGCCGGGUGAAAGUCCCUAAUUUACAUGGAACACGGAGAGUAUGGACUGAACUAAUGGGACCUUUUAUGAAUCUCCAGGGCGAAUGGUCCUCUCUCUCUCUCUCCCUCGCUAUCUCCCUAUGUGUUUCUUCCACAAGGUUAGACACUGUAUUAUUGUCUAUAAAACGGAAACAGGGUCCGAAUACCCCCUAAGAAAAGCUCGUCAAUUAGCGAUUCGGUGUUGGCAUUAACUCCAGGACCGUUAUCUGUGUUGGCGUGAGAGACAACUUUUACUGCUUACUUACAUGCCAAGAUCUCAAGGGCUUAUAAGACUAUUCGUUUAAGAAAAAGAUCGUCUUUUUAAAAAUAAAUUUGAGGUGCUUUCAUGUAAUAUAUUCUGAACAACAAUUGAAAAUUAAAGAAUGUUUUAGGAAUUUUUGCAUUAAAAAAACUGACUUUGAUAUUUGAGUUUUUUAUUCCGAGGAACAAAUCAAAGGUUGCCAUGGUUCUCAAUAUAGCCAUUCCUUCAAUGGUACCACAAAAGGAAAAGGAAAGGUGAAGAAGAACCAGUGACAACUAGCACUCACUUCCCAACCAGCUAGAAAGGCAACUGAAAAAUAUAAAUUACUCUCAAAUCAAAUAAAUCACUAACAGAAUCUAGUACAGAGUCGAUUAAUAACAAAAAUUACAACACCUACCCUCUUGCGGAUAAAAGGGAAAAAAGAAAAAGUCAAGAAGGAAAAACAACAAAAAAUUCAUUUAAAUCUCCGCUUGGUUUCCCCAUAAGCAACAACCCCAAGAACGGUAAUUGUGUAGCCAGAAAUCCCAACAACGGUCACUGGAUUCUGGAAUAUAAGUAUUGAUAUGACAACAGCCACAGCUCCUUUUGCAUUGCCUAGUACCUGAUCACACCAUAAUUCCAGGGAUUGAGGAUACAUGAAUACGCAGAAUUCAUCUAUUGAAAGCUACAACAAAUAGAACAACAUAAUAGACUAGCCAUAAAUCCCUAUUCUGAAAAUAAGAAAUAAAUAAGAGCAAUGAGAUAAAAAUAAGGAAUCCUAAAUAGAGUUAAGGUUCCAAUUCCAUGGAUAAUGUGGAUAGCAUUGUCUAUAAUCAUAGACAAAUAAAAGAAUCUUAUCCCUCAUUUUGAAAAUGUCUUUGGAUGAAAUGGAAAAUUGAUUUCAUAUCCCAUUAAAGGGAAUUGUUUUACCAAUUCUCGGACCAAAUGUGUCUGUCUUGACAAACAUGCAUACACCUUUGAGAAAUUUGGAAUAGUUCAGGGCCAAAGUAGAUGACAUUUAUGGAGCAAGAGUAUUAAAUCCAGGAUUAGAGAUCCAUUGAGCCAAGUCAAAUAUCAGUCUUUACUUUGAUCCUAAUUGAUAUUAAAGAUUGGCCCGAGCUCAAUCCAAAUCUCCUUUUCAAGCUUUGGUUUGUUCAGCAACAUGACCAGCUCCUACUGAUGCAACCCUUCAUAGAAGUUCCAAAUCACUAUGCACAAAAAUUUUCUUGUAGCAGAGGCUAACCUUCUUGCAUGAACUUAGUCAACUAUUUGUUUUAAACAAUAGUCUAUAUUGACCAAAGAAUCCUGGUGAGUGAGAUCUAAAGAGCAUGAGCUGCUUCUCCCUAUUUGCAGUUUACUCAGGAUCACUUAGGAAAGAAAUGUUCUUAUUGGAGAAAACCUGGUUCUUAGAAUUGUGUGGAACAGUGUAAAAAUUGGUGAGCACAUAUUACUCCACCCUGUACGCUGAGUUCAUGUUAAGAGUAUACAGUUGGGAUUAUAAGCAGUAUUUAGUGUGAAAAACAUUAAAAAACCAAUCCAAUAAACCCACCUGGAAUUUCAUCAAGACAAGGUAAAUGGUAAGAAUGUGUUUGUAAGCCCCAAGGAAAUCAAAUCAUUCAAUGCAAAUUUUCAAAGCAUUUGAAAAUGCUAAAUUCUCUAAACAAGCCAUUACAAAAAAAUGGAGCAGUCAUGACAAAUGGUGGUAUCUAAUAUUCAUGAAAUCGUAAUCAUGGUCAAUUUACAGUUCAGGGAAUGGUUUCAUUUCAACUUUUCACCAUUACUUGUGAUGACAGCCUAUAAUGAUGUCAUUCCAGUUGAUAGACUUGCAGCUUCAUGAAUAUGCAUCAGAAUGCAUACUGUUACUCAAUACUUCAUACUAUCUUACAUAGACUAGAUAAUUAUUACUGUAUUGUUACCUAUACUUCAAAUCAUUUACCCAAGAAAAAGAUUUAUUUAUUUAUUUACUGAGAGAGAGAAUAAAAGCCAAAGAUGCUGAACCUGGAGUGUCAGAGGACUUGUAUGCUUGGUCACCAAGAAGUUGGACAAAUUGGCCGAAUAGGCCAUUGCUGAAUUCACCAAAAGAAGCAUCCACAUGAAUUUAUGCUCCUUCCCAAGUGAAAUGGUGGCAUCUAACACAUUGGGUUCCAUUAUAAGUGCAGCAGGCAAUAAAACUAGAACUGCAAUUGGAGACAUAUACAGCAACAGAUUCAUGGAGUUUAACUUUUCCCUGCAGAGAUGAGAGAAACUUGGAUAAGAUAUGCCAUGUAGGAAGCAGAUUACGCAUCAACAAAAUAUUUUUUGCACUGCAGAGAGUAUGGAAGAGAAGAAAAGAAAUUUGGAAUUUAAAAAAAUCAUCCCAGCUCCAAAUAGUUGUAAAGUUCCAAUUUUUCUUUACAUUUUGUCCACUUAGUUAACCAAAUGGGGCAUAAAGGUAAACAUGCAAACAAAAAGGAUGAAAAGAAUAAAAUAAACACUUGUACUGUACUAUUUAUGAGAAAGGUAUAUCUCUACAAAAAUUACCAACCAUUUCUGAAUAAUGCCUUUUGUUUUCAUAUGUUUGCAACCCCUUGAUAGGACAUUCAUUAGUUGGAUGGUUAAUAAAGAUGGUCCCUUUCCCAGGCCCAGGUGCAUAUCCAAUAAGAAAAAGUAUUCCCAGUUUUAACUCCUCAAUUGCAACUUAUUUGGUUUCAUUUUCCUUCUGUAUAUAUCAAGCAACAGAUUUUGCUUUAAAAAUCCUUGGAGAAAGACCUUAAGGUAUGCAAAAAAAUCUCCAUUCCUCUGCCAGACAAGUGAUCUAAUUUAGACCCUCGUUGUAGAUAUAUUCCUUUUUAGUCAUCACUCCUUCAAACUUCUGAUUACGCAUUCAGAUUUCUGAUUAUGCAGUUCCCAUUUGAAAUCUUGUAAACUCAGGAUCCUUCAGUGAAAAAACUUUAAUUCUGACCUGAUAGAACCUCAAAGUAACUUGAGAAUGUGAAACAUUCAAUAAAGUAGCUACAGAGAAAACAAACAGCACAUUUACAAAGACAAAAAAAAAACAGCAGAAAACUUCUUAUUUAGGUGCCACUCCUGAUUAUGUUCACAUUUGAAACCUUGUAAACUCAAGGUUCUUCAGUGAUAAAACCUAGUUCUGGUCAUACAAAACCUCAAACUAAUAGAAAUAACUACCAUCUCACAACAAUUAUUUUUGAUAGGAAAAUAACUGAAAGAGCAAAGGGUUUACCCUUCAGAGGAAAGUAGGACACCCUGAAGAACAGAUUUGAAUGCCCUUGCAGCAGUUGCACUUAUGCACAUUAUAAAUCCAAACAAGUGGAAACUUGGCUCACCCUAGCACCAACAAAAUAAUCUCAUGCUUAAAAGUCCAUUGAAAACAGGAAGAAGAGUUUUUUAAAAAGAAGAAAAACAUAAAGAGAAACCAUCCUAGUAGCAAUAAGGCACUUAAUCUUCUUUACUCCUCAAUUAACAUUUUCAUUUGUAUAUUUAUUUACUUAUUUUCUGCAGAGGGUAUGACAUAAUAACCCUGCAGCAACCCUGCAGCAGAAACACAGAAAGAUCCAUGAGUUAACAUAUUCCAAAAUUUAAUAUGAUCAAUGGGAAAUUUUCUGUAAGAAUACUCACUAUCAAGUGACUUUCCAGACGCCAAUUGAUAUAAUAAAGCAAACUACAAAUAAAAAUGGUAGCAGCUGCAUGAUUUGUUUAAAUGUGUAUUACAUAGAGUUGGGGGAUACAUGGUGGAUGUCAUUCAUUGAAAAUUAUCCAGCCUAACAAAAAGAACAAUACUGGUGAAACUUCAAGUAAAAUUAUGUGGUAAGAAAUAAUUAAUGACUUGAAGAUGAUCCACUUUGGUUUCUUGCCUCUGCCAUCUGAUAUAGGGACAAAGGUUUCAAACUCAUGGUUGAACGUUAGUCAGCAGAAAACAUGUUUGUUAAGCUAAUCCUCUGAUGCCCUUAUUAAGGGUGUAGCAUUUUGGUCUUUCUUUCCAACUGGAUAUUACAUUUUAUAUCCGGAUGCUCUUUAUUCCACAGCUUGCAUAAAUAUUGAAUCCCGGUAUGUUAUAACCUCCAUCCCAAUAAUAAAUUCCCUAGAAGAUACAGCAAUACAAAACCAUCUUUAGGAUAAAUGCCUCAGUGUUCACUCCAUUAAAGGAUAGAUCUAUUUAUCCUUCCAAUACAAAUGAUUCUACUAAGGGCUUGUUCUAAUCAAAUUUUCCUUCUUGUUUACAGGCAAAGUAAUGUACUAAUAAGCACCUAACAACAAGCGAGGGGUGCAUCCUUAAUACACGAGUUCAUUCUAAUCAAAAUGUUCCAUUAUAUAAGGACAGAGUUUUACCCCAUAAAUUUUUAUCUCAUUAGACAAUUAUAAAUCCUAUCGAACAUACAUACAAAGUAGUUUGUUUUGUUUUGAGACGGUCCCAACAAUGCCCUAUCUACUCUACUGAUGAAAGCAUUUCAAGUUUUCAACCCAAGAUCCACCUAACUAAAAAGAACAUGGCUUGUCCCAUAACUGAGGAUCCUUCACCUCUGCUUCUGAUCCCAUUAACCCUAUAUAAGCUGCCAGAAAAAAACUCCCACAAUUUGUAACAUCCAUGUACCACAUCAAGUCCACGAAUUAUCUGAAAUCAACCCUUGGAAUAGAGUUGCAGAUCAGGAAACUCAUACAUCGACUUGGCAUUGCAUCAAAUAACCUCAAAAUCAAACCAAAACAUAGCAUAACAUGAAAUAGAUAUCGAAUUCCGAAAACAGCCACAAAACCCAACACAUAACAAACACCAACGAAGAUAAUUCACACUUAGAACCAGUCACAGAUCAAAACAAAAUUCACAAUAGAUAAAUAAAUAAAUAAAAUUAACAAAAUUAACUGAUGAUCCCAGAAAUAAAGCAAAUAAAUAAACAUACCCCACUUGCGAUCACGACCCCGGCAACAACUGGUACAAGAGCAACAUAGGUGACCCAAGCCUCCCGCUUAAGGGUCAUCAAAUAAGCAAACACGGCGGUGAAAAACGGCGUGGUUGCACCGACGGCCUGAUUGAAGGAGACAGGGAGAUACCGAAGCGAAAUGUUGCCACCGACAACAGAGGCACAGAAUACAAUGCUGAGAGUGGCAAUCUUGAGGAACUGAGCCCUAGAUUUAAGGGCCUGCAGAGGCGCAAUUUUCAAGAAAACAAUGGAGACGUAACUGAGAAUUGCACAAGCAGACAUGUGGCACAUUGUGAGGAAGAUUGGGAAGCUGAAGCCAUAGUUGGAGAGCAGGAACUUGUUGAGAAGAAUGACCCCAAUGUUGGAUGAGUACCAUAGGAUUAUGAGUGAGCUUAUGAAUAAGGCUUUCCUCCUCGAUGGAGAUGAUGACGAUGAUGAUGCUGACGAAGACAUCUUCUCCUUCCUUUUCCUAGGGUUCUUGAUUCGUCGGUGAAGCUGCAGCUCUUAUCAGAGCUUUAAUGGCAUAUUAUGCUAUUGCUAUUGUUAUGAUUAUUUAUUUAUUUAUUUAAAAUUUUGGUGUACAUCUUAUUUUCUUAUUACAAAUUUAUCAUACAAAAAUAAUUUUUUAACUUUCAGUUAUUUUUUUGUAAAAUUAUAAUUGAAAACAUAGAGAAUAUUUAAAAUUUUUACCAUAUACAUAAAUCAAAAAAAAUUAUUUUUCCUAUUUUAAAUUUCUAAACAAAAUUUCAUUCCUCCAAACAAAUUUUAAUUCUUUUUCAUGGCUUUUUUUUAAAAAAUAUUUUCAAAUAAAUCAUAAAUCACCUCAUUUAUUAAGUUCAAUAAAUUUUAAAAAUAUAUAUUAAAAUAAUUUAUUAACUUUUAAAUCUAUUUGUUAUUAUUUCUUAUAUAUAUUUUCACAAUUUUAAGCCUUAGUUAAGGUUGUUUGAUGCCAAAAAAAAUUAAAUUAUUAUUUAACAUAUUGAGGUUUUUUUUUUCAUAUGAAAGGGCUCCACUUUGUAACCACCCUAUAAAAAGUUUUUAGUGCCCAUUUAGAAAUGUUUUCAAAAUUAUUUUUUUUAUAUUUUAUAAAAUAAAAGUUUAUUUUUUGUUUUUUAAAUAAAUUUAUUUUGAUUGUUUUAUUUUAUUUUUAUUUUUAUUUUAUAUUUAUAUAAUUGUUUUUUUAAAUAAGCCUUAAAAAACAAUCAAAAUAUGUUAUAAAGCUCUAUUCCCAGCCAAAAAAAAAAAUAUCAAACUAAUUUUUUUAUUAAUAUAGUUUUAAAACAGACUCUUUCUUCUACUCAUUGGUAAGAUUAAUUAGAUAUGUAAAUGACUUAAAUUGAAACUUUGAUUCAGUAUCAAAAUGGUGUUUAGUAAAUUAAUUUAAUAAUUCAAUAUAAAUUAAUAACUUAAUUUAAGAAAUUAAAUAUGAUUGAUUAAAUAAUAUAUGGUGUUUGAUAAAAAUUAAUAUUUAAUUAUUUUAACUGACUUUAAUUUAAAUAAUGCUUAAGGUAUCAAUUCAUAUAUAAAUUACACUACUAGGGCAAACACACUCACUAUAUUUAAUAGCUUAAAUGAAGUCAUUAAAAUUUUAAUAUGCUCGGUAAUUAAACAUUCUUUUAAUGUCACGACUUAAAUUUUAAAAAUAACUUCAAUACUUAUCAAACAUAUUCAAUAUUUUCAGUAACUUAAACUAAGCCGUUAAAUCAUGUUAACUUGUGUAUAUAUAUAUAUAUAUAUUAGGAUUAAGGGUGAUGUUUGCGUUUUGUGUUAAAACAAAAUAGACUUUAGUUUAAUUAUAAAUAAUACUCAGUAAGGUUGAGUAUUAGUUUGUUUAUUUUAUUUUAUUUUACUGAUUCAAGUCGUUUUUAAAAUUAUUUAUUUUUUAACUUAACAAUUUUUUAAAAGAUAAUUUUGUAUUAACGAAUAAGGUAAAAAAAAAAAUUACUUUUACUUUAAAUUUUAAAACAACUUUCUCCAAACUUAAAUUAAAAAAAAUAAUAAUAAUAACAACAACAACCCUAAGUCUUAUUUGUUUUUUCUAACCAAACAACCUUGAUUUAUUCUAUUCAACUACCGGCAAGUCAUUAAAUUGAUUUAUCAAAUAUCAUCUAUAAAAUUUGAUAUAAAAUAAUAUUUUAAUAUUCAUAUGUUAAAUGGGAUUGAAGAAGUAAAGUAUAUAGGAAUUUAAAGAUAUGGCAGAAAAUUAUUUUGAAAACAAUUAAAAAUUCUAUCGAUAGUGUAUCAUUUUUCCAAAAAUAAGUUUGAGGUGUUUUUAGAUUAUUUUAAGAAAAAUUAUAAUUAUAAAAGAUAUUUUAAAAGGUCAUAAUUUUAGUCCAAUUUUUUUUAUAUUUUUAUUUUUAAAAUAAAAUGUAAUUUCUAGAAAUAAUUGAAAACAUGUUUUUAAAACACUAUUUUUGAAAAAUAUAAAGUAAUUGGAAAUGUGGAUUAGGGUAAAGUAGUUUUAAAAAAUCACUUGAAAUAUAAAAAAUGACGGUGUCAAGAACCGUUCACAUAGCCUUGUUGUACACGUGUCUUCCAUUAAUCCAAGAAGCUUGGAAAAUCCAUGCUACAAGAUAUCGUUUGUUUUGCCCCUUCUACACCAAGUCACUGACAAGGUGUCACAACCCUGAUAUGAACCUCAAAUUUUUCACCAAGUGUGCGGUGCUAAAAACCCUUUCUUAGCCAACCUUUCCCUUUCUAGCCCUUAUAAAAGCAGUGUAACAAACCAACUCAAUUACAGAAAUGCUUCCCAACUUGUAUUAUUUCAAUCUCUACAUACAUACAAAACUGCUCAACACUUUGUCAGAGUCAAAGAAUAUAAUGCUUAAACCCCUAAACAUUCAAAAUACCAUACAUACUCUGUCUCAGGGAUGUAUGGGGCUUUUAUUAGUUUAUAUGACUCAGUUUGCAGUUUUCUCUUUUAAAUUUCAAAUCAAGGAGUUUGUUGGUGGUUAUGCAACCGCCUAUAACCACAAAGCUAGAGACACCCCUUUGAACUGAGGUGUCCCUUCGCACUGGCUACUAGCUCCUCAGCUAUCUGCCAAUUCCCUGUUGCUAAAUCUUAGUUAUUGCUACCACCUCAUGUGUUGUACUGAUCAACCUGCUACCACUAGCUAACUGUUGUUCCCUCAAACCUUUACUCAUAGAACAGUUGACGAGUCCCCCUAACAAGUUGCCUCCUCCCCGUAAGGUGCCUCUUGUGAACGAGUGCCCAUCAAGAUGUCUUUGACCAAAGCUCUUUGAAUUAGCAACGUGCAUCGACCAAUUGAUCAGGUGUGUCUGGUGCAUCAGUGUGUCUUCCUCACACUGAUAUCUGAGUACCAUGUCAAGGUGCCCAUGGCCUGGGCAUGUGUCAAGUUCCCUCUAGUUAGUCAAGGCUCCAUCAUUGCCUUGUUUUUGUCAUGCACCAUCAAUCUCGAUAACUGCCUCAGAGCUUUUUGUUUAGCCACUGAUUCACAACAUUGAGUCAUGGCAUUGCGCCCAUGGCUUCAUCAACUGGCUCACUGCACAAGUCUUUAGGUGCUCUUGUGCUAGUGCGGGGAGGAAGUAAGCCACGUCAGGCCCCGUGUCGUUACAGCCACGGGGUGCAUGCCACACAUGUCGUGGAGUCCAUGUGUGCGUGCUUGUGUGCCUUUCAUAUGUCUUAGACAUGCCCAAGACCUUGCCAUGGUUCCUCCUUGAUGUGGCCAUGGCUUGGCCUUUGUGCCCUUGAGUCACCUACCCCCCUUAAAAAGCAUUACAAGUCAUUUUCAAAAUGUUUGGAGGAGACAUUAAACCCCCUUGAGGAGACAUAAUGGAAUAUUUAAAUAAAUAAUAAUCAUAUUAUAUAAAAAAACCUUAUCAUUCAUCAACACCAUCUUCAUAGCCCCACAUGUGCAUGAUGUGUGCUAAGUGUGCGCACAGGUGUGGCAUGGUGUGCAUAUGGGCGUGGUCUGCUGCACGCAUGGGCGUGAGACUGCUACGCAUGCGAUACUUGCCUGGUGCAUGGGUGGUGUUUGUCUGGUGCACACGCGGUGCUUGUUGUCAUGCUCAUUUCCUCAUUUUUUGUUUUCUUGGGUUGAACCACCAAACCUCCAGGCCAUCUCUACUCUCUGCCUAGGAUCUGUUAGACAACCACACUGCACACACUGGUUAGUUCAUAAGAAAAUAAAAGAAAACUGGAAAAAAAAAAACAGAGAAUUAAGGAAGAAGAUUAGACCGAGUCUUGUGGAAAACACAAUCUCCUUAAAACAGAUUCGCCUUCUCCAUAGGUGCUUUGAGAAUCGCAAGGUGUCUGUCUCCCAGGAUAAAACGAUCUUCGAAUGGCAGCAACAACACUCUGCAGCCACUCCGGCGAACUGGAAAUUGUUCAACUCUAUCACGGACACGGAAGGAAGGAACUCUUCAACACUCUGACAAUACUCCAAAGUUUUUCAUUUUUUGCUAUUUUUUUGAAAGAAAGUCUACCACUAUUUAUAGACUUCAAGGAGGGAAGAACACAGACAGGUUCAGAAAGCCAAAAUGAAUUUGGCUUCUUGAGACUCUUAUAAUUCUGGAAAAAUGAAUGAAUUUACUUAAUUCAAUGGAUUUACUUAAUUUCAUUCAUCCCCUUUUUCCAACAAUUCCCCACAUGAAAGAAAUUAAGACACGAUGAACUUUGUGAUAGAGUACAACGGUUGAAACCUGCAUAGGAGAGGUAGGUGUUACCCUUUGAACCUUCCCUUGUAGAAAUAUGUUUACUCUACUAGCUAAACAGUAGACACGAUGUCCUUGAACUGUUCUGUCAUUUAUGUAGAUGAUGACAUAUCUCACACAGGAAUCUUCCUAACAUAUUUCAGUUCUCACUUUUAUGUUCAUUUUGGCCAUGAACAUACGCCUGGUUCUAUAAGAGUUUAAUAAGAAUUGUGCCCUAUUCAAUUCCCUUAGAAGCGGCCCCACUUCACUUUUACAUAGGUGAUCUCUUAAUCACGAGUAACCCGCAUUACUCUGUUCGGAUUUCCGAAGCAUAAGGAUCAUUAAAAGCAUAGCUUACCCUUUCCUCUUACGGGCAUCACUAUUUUAUCAUAGGAAUGGACUAGGGAAGAUCCCCACAGUGAUUUAACAAAGUCUUUACAGUUUAGUUGUCCCUUUUGAACCUAGAUCUCGGGAUCUCCAGUCAACUAGGUUGGGUAUCCACUGUAUUAACUUAUUCUUUUAUGGGUUUUAGUCCCAUUCCCCUUGAUGACUUUUCAACUAACUCUUUAUUUAACCUUUUGGUUAGUGGAUCCGCAAUGUUAUCUUUGGAUUUCACAUAGUCCACAGAGAUAACCCCAGUUGAGAGUAGUUGUCUAAUGGUAUUGUGUCUACGACGAAUGUGUCUAGACUUACCAUUAUACAUAUUACUCUGUGCUCUACCAAUUGCAGAUUGACUAUCACAAUGUAUGCAAAUUGGAGGCACAGGCUUUGACCACCUUGGAAUAUCCUCUAGGAAGUGGCGUAACCAUUCAGCCUCUUCCCCACAUUUAUCUAGUGCUAUAAAUUCAGAUUCCAUUGUGGAUCUGGCAAUAACCGUUUGUUUUGAGGAUUUCCACGACACUGCUGCACCUCCUAGUGUAAACACAUAACCACUAUGGGAUUUUGAGUCUUUAACAUUAGAUAUCCAAUUCGCAUCACUAUAUCCUUCAAGUACAGCAGGAUAUCUUGUAUAGUGCAGCCCAUAAUCACGAGUAAACCGUAAGUACUUUAGUACUCUUAUAAUUCCUUGCCAAUGCUUGGCUCCGGGAUUACUCGUAUAUCUACUCAGUUUACUAACCGCAUAGGCUAUGUCUAGUCUUGUACAACUCAUUAAGUACAUUAGACUGCCUAUUACUCUAGAGUAUUCUACUUGAGAAACACUCUCACCUUUAUUCUUGGACAAAUGUAGAGUUACAUCCACCGGUGUUCUAGCAACUCCAGAAUUAUCUUUAUCAAACUUUCCAAGAAUUUUGUCUACAUAAUGUGACUGACUUAAUAUGAGUUCAUUUGAUGUUCUUUUGAUUUUUAUUCCCAAUAUAACAUCAGCAAGUCCCAUGUCUUUCAUGUCAAACCUUGAAUUCAACAUGUUCUUUGUAGAUGUGAUCAUCUUAUCAUCACUACCAACAAUAAGCAUGUCAUCUACAUACAAACAUACAAUGGCAUAUCCAUGUUCUGUAUCCUUGACAUAAACACACUUGUCACAUUCAUUGAUUUUGAAGCCAUGUGACAGCAUAACAUUGUCAAAUUUUUCAUGCCAUUGUUUUGGUGCUUGUUUUAAGCCAUACAAAGAUUUCACCAGUUUACAAACUUUCUUUUCUUGUCUUGGAGCUGAAAAACCCUCAGGUUGCUCCAUAUAGAUUUCUUCAUCUAAAUCUCCAUUUAGAAAGGCUGUUUUUACAUCCAUUUGAUGUAUUUCAAGAUUUCUCAAUGCAGCAAUUGCAAGUACCAUCCUUAUGGAAUUUAUUCUCGUCACAGGAGAAUAUGUGUCAAAAUAAUCUAGGCCUUCAGUUUGUCUGUAGCCUUUGAUUACAAGUCUUGCUUUAUACUUGUCAAUUGAUCCAUCUACUUUCAUCUUUCUCUUGAAAAUCCACUUGGAACUUAAAGGUUUACAACCUGGUGGAAGAUCCACUAGUUCCCAAGUAUGGUUUUGCAAUAUGGAAUCAAUUUCACUCUUAAUGACCUCUUUCCACAUAAGACCUUCUGUAGAGUUCACUGCCUCUUUAAAAGUUUGAGGUUCGCCUUCAAGCAUAAAAGUUAGAAAAUCUGGACCAAAAGACUUUUCUGUCCUUACCCUUUUGCUACGUCUAGGUUCUACCUCAACUUCUUCAUUUUGAUCCUGACUCUCAAGCAUUCUUUUUUAUGAACUUGGCUCUUCUUUGGAUUUACAUGGAAAUACAUCUUCAAAGAAUGAUGCAUUCCUUUAUUCCAUUAUCGCGUUCUUAUGAAUAUCUGGGAUAUUUGAUUCAUAAACAAAAAACCGAUAAGCAUUACUAUUAUGUGCAUAGCCAAUGAAAAUGAAAUCAAUAGUCUUAUGUCCUAUUUUCACCUUUUUAGGUGGAGGAACUGCCACUUUAGCAAGACAUCCCUACAUUCGUAAGUAUGUGUAGGAUGACUUUCUUCCUUUCCAUAACUCAUAUGGAGUCUUUUCUGCUUUCUUUUUGGGUACCUUAUUCAAAAGGUAAUUAGCAGUUAAAAUGACUUCUCCCCACAUGUUUUGUGGCAAACUAGAACUUAUUAACAUUGCAUUCAUCAUUUCCUUUAAGGUACGAUUCUUUCGCUCAGCCACUCCAUUGGAUUAAGGCGAAUAAGGUGUUGUUGUUUCGUGUAUAAUCCCAUGUUGAGCACAAAUGUCAACAAAUGGCGAUUCAUACUCACCACCUCGAUCGCUUCUUAGUACCUUAAUUUUCUUGUUGAGUUGAUUCUCAACUUCGUUUUUAUAGAGAACAAAUUUCUCUAUAGCUUCAUCCUUGCUUUUUAGUAAAUACACAUAACAGUAUUUGGUGCUAUCGUCAACAAAAGUAAUAAAAUAUUUAUUACCACUUAUUGUUUGUACAAAUUUCAAAUCACAGGUAUCACUAUGAAUCAAAUCAAGAGGUUCAGUGUUUCUUUCAACACUUUGAAAAGAUGACCUUGUUAGUUUUGCCUCAACACAAGUUUCACAUUUAUGGUUGGAAUUAAUUUGGAAUGUUGGUAUAUGAUUUAAGUUAAUUAAUCUACGUAAUGUAUCAUAAUUAACAUGUCCUAAUCUACCAUGCCAUAGAUUAGAAGACUCAAGCAUGUAAGUAGAAGUACUAGCUUUAUUCAUAUUUGACUUAAUAAUAGUCAUUACAUUGAGUUUCCACAUUCCAUCACUCAUAUAGCAUUUCCCAACAUACAUUCCACUCUUGGACAAAACAAAUUUGUUUGACUCAAAGACCAACCGAAAUCCAUGAUUAUUCAGCAAUGAACCAGACACCAAGUUCUUGCGAAUUUCCAGCACAUAUAAAACAUUGGUCAGAGUCAACUCUUUCCCAGAAGUCAUCUUCAAGAUUACUUUACCUUGACCCUUGAUCUCAGAGGUGGCAGAGUUCCCCAUGAACACUUUUUCCCCAUUCUCAAUUGGUUCAAAAGUGGAGAACAUUUUCUUAUCAGAGCAUACAUGGCGAGUAGCACCAGUAUCAAUCCACCAUUCCUUUGGGUUAGAACCCACCAAGUUCACCUUAGAGACUACUGCUGUGAGGUCAAUGUCAGGAACAUUUUUAGUGAUGUCGUCAAUCACAUUAGCUUCCUUAGGUUUAUUCUUUUUGGGCAGUCUACAAUCAACAGACUUGUGACCUUGCUUACCACAAUUGAAGCAUUUCCCUUGAAAUUUCGGCUUUUUUGAGAUCCCUCCUUUAGGUCCCAACUUAGAUCCUUUCCCUUUGUUGUUGUUCUUCUUUGCCUUGGAACUUUGACCAUGUUCCACAAAGUUAGCCUUGGCCUCAUUUAGAGUGUGCGCCCCUUUCUUUUCAGAUCUUCUAUUAUCUUCUUCAAUGCGAAGUCUAAUAAUUAGAUCCUCGAUGCUCAUUUCCUUUCUUUUGUGCUUGAGGUAAUUCUUAAAAUCUUUCCAAGCAGGGGGUAGUUUCUCAAUAAUAGCUGCUACUUGGAAAGUUUCACUCAACAUCAUUCCCUCAGCAUGUAUCUCAUGCAAGAUUACUUGAAGUUCUUGGACUUGACUUACCACAGUCUUGGAAUCUACCAUCUUAUAGUCGAGGAAGCGACCCACAACAAAUUUCUUAGUCCCGGCAUCCUCAGUUUUAUAUUUCCGGUCUAGAGAUUCCCAUAGCUCCUUAGCUGUUUUCUUGUCAGAAUAAACAUUGUACAACGAAUCAGCUAAACCAUUCAUGACAUAAUUUCUACACAAGAAGUCAGAAUGUUUCCAAGCAUCUAUAGCACUGAUGACUUGGAUAUCGUGCUCGUCUUCUUUGAGCUUAGGAGCAUCCUCAGUCAAGAAUCUUGCAAGAUUCAACGUGGUCAAAUAGAAUAACAUCUUUUGUUGCCACCUUUUAAAAUUUAGUCCACUGAACUUCUCUGGUUUUUCUCCUGGUGAGACAGAGAUUGGUACAGCAGUAGGCAUCGCUGGCACUUGGGCCACAGUAGGGGUUGCCACUGGGGCUAAUUCAGUUACAACAACGUUAUCGGAUUCAGUUGUCAUUUUUUCUGAAACAUCCAAGAAAAUGUGUCAAUUUCUUUUUUUCUUUUUUCUUUUUUUCUUUUUUUUUCCAAAAAAAAAAAACUGAAAAUCACUUUACAGAGUAUUCCCAGGAAAGACUAGUGGAGUAUAAUGACCUAGACCAGGACUAGCUUCCUUAGACAGAAUAUUCAGUUCCUAGGAAAUUGGAGGGGUCACAAAUGGUCCCGCUUAAAUUCCAAUUACCUUAGACAGAACUUCUUUGUAUCAUAAUUUCCAAAUUUUCAAAAGACUUGGUACAAACUUUAUAAGAAGGUAUUUUUCCCAUAAAAAAAAAAAAACAUGAGUCACAGUCCAAUGGUGUCUUACUGAGUUGAGCAUGAGAAAAAGGGCUCAGGUUAAGAGUUCGAAACUUCUUUUUGUAACAAAUGGUUGUUUUUUUUUUUUUCUUCUAAAAAAAAACACAAAUUUGAAUUUUUUUUUUUUUUUCUUUCUCACUGGUUUUUUCUUUUUCCUUCUUCUUCUUCUUGAUAACUUGUUUCCUUUUCACCAACCACUGGUUUUCCUUUGAAAAAGUCUGUUUUAAGAAUGUUAGACAACCACAUUGCACACACUGGUUAGUUCAUAAGAAAAUAAAAGAAAAUUGGAAAGAAAAAAAAAACAGAGAAUUAAGGAAGAAGAUUAGACCGAGUCUUGUGGAAAACACAAUCUCCUUAAAACAGAUUCGCCUUCUCCACAGGUGCUUUGAGAAUCGCAAGGCAUCUGUCUCCCAGGAUAAAACGAUCUUCGAAUGGCAGCAACAAUACUCUGCAGCCACUCCGGCGAACUGGAAAUUGUUCAACUCUAUCACGGACACGGAAGGAAGGAACUCUUCAACACUCUGACAAUACUCCAAAGUUUUUCAUUUUUUGCUAUUUUUUUGAAAGAAAGUCUACCACUAUUUAUAGACUUCAAGGAGGGAAAAACAUAGACAGAUUCAGAAAGCCAAAAUGAAUUUGGCUUCUUGAGACUCUUAGAAUUCUGGAAAAAUGAAUGAAUUUACUUAAUUCAAUGGAUUUACUUAAUUUCAUUCAUCCCAUUUUUCCAACAGGAUCCCCAUAGGUUCAAGGCCUUCCCAUGAGGCCCUUUCCUCCAUCAUUGGGUCAAGAGGUUAAGGGGUUAAUAAUUAGCUCCUGGGCGGUUGAGGAAGAAUAAUCCAUUCAUUUGAGUAUUUCUCCCGCGGACAAUGAAUUGUAUUUACUAUUUAUUCAUAUUUCCAAAAUAAAAAUAAAAAUAAGAAACAAAAGUCCACCAAACUUAUUAAAUUAUAAUUUUAUAAUUGAAUAAUAAUGAAAUACAAGCAUUCACACUCAUUAUCGGUUAUAAUAAUAACUUUUAUUUUAGUAAAAUUUAAACUCCUAACACUAUUAACAUAAACAAGACUUCUUAAAAGGUAAAUAGUAAAUUACCAUACAAGCCCCAAUUGUUGAUUAUUCCUUUUAAAACUAAAUUAAAUCAUUAUAUAUAGAUAUAUUCUUUCUAAUGGGUAAGGGGUGGGUCGUUUAAUCAUAGAAAGAAAAAAUAAAUAAUUACUAGACCCUCCAAGCUACCUCUUUUUUUUUUUUUUUUUUGUGGGUGUGGGGGGGUGAUUAACUGUUACCAGGGAACAACAUUAUUAAUUGGUUCCAUAUUUAAGGGUGACCAAUUAAUUAAGCAAGUGAGGAGUCCGAGUAGGUGAAAUGAUGCUUUGAUUACAAAUAACACAAAUUUCUCAUUCUUGGUGUGCAUGUUGAUGUACAAAAGCUUCCUUGUCAUAACUCAUAAUUUCCACCAAUUUUGCAGAGGAAAUUUAUAAAUUGGGUAAGACUUAAAUUCAAUUCAUUAGUUCUUGCCCCCAGCUGCAUUUGC
RNAcentral lists this long non-coding RNA (68907 nucleotides) under Vitis vinifera (wine grape). RNAcentral's name for it is "long non-coding RNA (VVIN_LNC002700)". Lineage: Eukaryota; Viridiplantae; Streptophyta; Magnoliopsida; Vitales; Vitaceae. The record is from RNAcentral.